CAGCUGUGUCUGAGUUACAUGAGCCAAACGAUCACAGAUUCAGUGGGUAUGUAUGUGUGAUAUUUAUUCAUUUUGUAUGUGUUCUAAAAUAGUUCAAGUAAAAUGAAAAUAGAAUAUUAAAUGACAGUGGGUGUCCAGUAUGACCACAAAAGAACAGGAUACCAUCCUCUCCAGUAAUCAUGGGUAUUUCAUGUUUUUCUACUAAUUUAUCUAGGUACUCAAUCUGUAUCACUUGAUAUUGCUUACCAUUAGCAAAAUUUUAUGUUAGCUAAAAGAAUAUGGUGGAUUAUUCAGAAGAAGCAAUCUAUGUAGAUUUUAAUUCUUUUUGUAUAUUAUGAUGUUAAUUCUAGUCUAGAAAUAGUCCAAAGUUGGAGAAAAGGGUGCAGUUCAGUAUUACCAUUCUCUGAGUGUGUGUGUGUGUGUGUGUGUGUGUCUGUGUGUGUAGUUUGAGAAGGCUCACACCAGGAGAUUCUCAUAGAGUUCUUAUACUACCACCAUCAUCCAAUUAUUUGUUCUUGUUCAAGUGUAAAGCUGUGCCCUGGAAACUGAAUAUAGUUGCUUAUCUUUGCAGAUAAACAGAGGAAAACAACAGAAGCCUUUGUGUUAUUUGGAGAUGCACAGGCAUGGACCAGUUUCAGAACUGGGCAUAUCCUACAACUACCAGCUCUGCAAAUGUUUGAGGAAAAGAAGAGAUUACAAUGUUUCUUGAGGUAAGGAAUUAAAUCACAGUUGAAAAUUAUUUUUCAAACUAAAUACUAAUAUUUCAAAUUUCUAUUAAAAGAUUUGGGGAUGGUGUUGAGUUGAGAGUGUAUUGCAGGAUUAUGAAUGAUAAAUAACUGGCUUGGACCAGAUAGCAGUAGAAAGGAUGAGAAGCGGUCAUAUUCUGAACAGAAUAUGAAUGUAGAGCCAAAAAGAUUUGUUGUGAGAGCAUAAUGUGGAAUAGAGGGGGAAAAAAAGAAUCAAGGAUAACUCUCAGUUUUUGGUCUAAGGGACUUAAAGAGUGGAGUUGCCAUUAACUGAGUUAGGAAAGCCCUAGUGCAGGAACAGACUUAGGGAUAUUGAUAUGGAGUUUAGUUUUCAUGAUGCUAAGUUUGAAAAGAGUUUCACUUUUUAAUUUGAACAAGAUUGGCCUAUUCCAUUUAUCCACAUAACAAUAAAUCUUCAAACUUAGUUAUUUAAAAUAACUAUUUAAUAAUAUUUUAUGAUUUUGAGAGUCAGGAACUCAAGUAAGGCUUGGCUGUGGCAUUGAUGAAUGUCACUUGUUGGCAUUCAGCUUGCAGAGGGACUGGUUUUGAGUCUCCAUAAAAGUUUCUCUCACAUGUUUGGCAUUUCGGUGGGGAUAUGUGGAAAUCUAGGCUGAGCUGGAACUGUCAGUCAUAGCACAGCAAACUCAGGGCAGCUGGAGUUCUUACACAGAAGCUCAGAGCUAUGAGAGAGUAUUACAGUGAGCAGGUGAAACCUGCAUUAUCUUUCCUGACCUACCUUUGGAAGUCACAUAACAUCAUUCUGCAGUAAUCUAUUGGUCAAAUGAGACACAAGCCAAGUCAAGGUGAGAGGACAUACAUCUCACUACUUGAUGGGAGAACUGUCAAAGAUUUUGCAGUAUGUUUUGAAGCUACCACAAAUUCAUUAGAGCAUCUUUAGCAGAGGAUCAGCUCAAUAUGACUUAAGUUUAAAAGUAUAACUUUGAGUACUCUGUAUAAAAAAGACUAUAAUGGGGAGAAGGCAAAAGCAGAGAGGCCAAUUAGAAGGCUAUUGCAGUGAUGCCUGUGAAAGAUGAUGGCUUUGACCAGAAUGGUAGUAGUGCAAGUGAUAAGAAGUUUCUUGUUUUGGAUACAGUUUAAAGAUAUAACUGACAAAAAUUAGACAGCAUAGAUGUGAGAAAAAGAGAAGAGCCAAGUUUUGGCCUAAGCAAUUGAAUGCAUUUACUUUGAUGUGGAAUAUUGCAGGACUAAUGAGUUUCAGAAUGGGAGAGUGGAAAUCAGUAGAGCAGUUAGUUAUUUGUCAUGUAAGGUUGAGAUACCUAUUAGAUAUCAAAGUGGUAACUGUAUAUAAGAGCCUGGAGUUGAAUGGACUGCUCAUGGGUACUUAUAUAAAUUUUCAAAAUAUAGAUGACAUUUAAAAAUACAGGACUGUAUGAAAUCAUCAAGGAAUUCAGUCUAAAUAAAGGCAGCAAGAGGAUACAUGAUGAUUGACUUCCAGAGAACUCCAAUAUUUAGAGUUUUAAAAGAGGAAGAGAAUCAAGUAAAUGAUACUGAGAAGGAGCAGCCACUAAGAUAAGAAAAAAUCAAGGAGAAUUAUGUGUCCUGGAACCAAAGUGAAAAAAGUGGAUCUGUGAUCAACUGUGUCAAAUAUUACUAAUGGAUCUAAUAAAGACUUAGAAUUGGCCAAAGCCUUUGGCAAUUUGGAGGUUGCUGUUGACUUUGAAAAGAAUAGCUUUAGUGUGUUGAUGGGGAGAAAAAUCUGUUUUUAAGGAAUUCAAGCAUGAAUUAGAGGGAAAAGGUAACAUGAAUAUAUAACUAUCCUGAGGAAUUUUCUAUGAAGGGAAGGAAAAAAUGAGAGAUAGAUGAGAAUGUGUGGAGUCAGGAAAGGAUUUUGAAACAUGUAGGUAUAGUACUUUUUCGUGAUAAAAGUAAGAAAGAAUGAAUUUGCACUGAAUCAAUCCAUGUAAUUGUUAUAAUUUUUUUUUAACAUUUUAGAUAAUAUCUGAAAGGUGUAUUUGAAUUUAAAUACAUAUUAUUAAGGUGACAGUGCAUUUAGGGGAAGCAAUCUACAUGGGUCUGUGGUCUUAAAUAUUCUAAAAUUUAACAAAAAUAAACUCAUAUUAUUAGACAAAAAUGAAUACUUAGUGAAGAAGAGAUUUCCCGCCAAAAGAUGUUUUCUUUGGAUAAUUUACUUACUGGAAGUAACUAACCUUAGAAAAGAGGGGUUAAGGAAAAUGACUAUCUUGUCAAUGGUCUUUUCACAGUAUCUCUAAUGUUCUCUUCAUUGCAGUUCUCACUUUCAUCACCUAAUUCUAGCACUCUUUAUCCCUUGACUGAAUUAUUACAGGAUAGUAUUUUCCAGUUUAUCCCUAUACCAACUAACCUAAUACUCGGCUGCAAAUGUAUAUUGUCUAGCAAAAUUCUAACUUGGAUGUUUCAAUCCCACCACAAUGUAACCUAAGUGAGCUUUUAGGUUUAUCUCCAACUACUCUUCUACCCCCCCACAGAGUAUACUUUUUUAAAAUAAAUUUUAUUUUCUUAAGUUCAUAUAUUUUGAGAGAGAGAGAGAAUCCCAAGCAAGCUUCACACUGUCAGUGCAGAGCUCAACACAGGGCUCAAACCCGUGAAACAUGAGAUCAUGACCUGAGCCAAAAUCAAGAGUUGUAUGCUUAACUGAUUGAGCCACCCAGGCACCCCACACAAUAUACUUUUAUACUUUAGCUAAAAGUGACUGGUCGUUCCCAAAGUUAGCCUUAAAUUUCCCUGAUUUCAUGCCUUUCCCCAUGACCACUACCUAAAUGAGCCAAAACUGUAUUUAUGAGUAGCAGUGUAGGGAAGUGAGAGUGAAGUGAGGGGGAGGGGUGGGCAAUCCAUGUAGCCUGUUUUUUUUUUUUUUUUUUUAAUACUAGAUCUGCCACUUUUAACUAUGACCAUGGAGAAGUUCAUUGUUUAAAUCACUGUGAUUCUUUGUUUUCUCAAUAUAAAUUAAUUUGUUAGCAUUAUUGUGAGGAUGUAAGUGUUAUGUAUAAAGAACCUCACAAGUAUCCUCACAAAUAUCUGGCAAACUGAACUUGUUCAAAAGUGGUAGCUGUUAUUAUUAUUACAGACUUGAUUUAAAUGAAGCCUUCCCCCAUGAAAUCUUCCCAAAUUACUUUGCUGUAUUUCCAUAGUACUUUGAUGACAUCAUAAUAUUAAUAUUUCACAAUCUCUCUUGAGCUGUAGUUACUUGUGCAUGCAUUUUUUUCUCAUGCCAGGAAAUGUAGAGUAGUACUGUUCAUUAAGAACAGUGUCUCUGCAAUCAGAAAGAACUGAAGGAAAAUACUAGCUCCUUUACUUACUAGCUGUGAGACUUUAGAUGAGAAAUCUCUGUGCCUGAGUUUCUUAAUCUAUAAAAUACAGAUAAAAACAGUAGCCAAACUCAUGUGGGUUUUGGUAAUAAAUGUAAAUGCUAGGUACAGCAUACAAAACAUAAUAAAGUCUUAAUAAAUGUAAAAUGUACUUGGUUUUAAACUCUUAAAGGAUGGAAAGUAAGUUUUGUCACCUUUGUUUUUCCACCACUAUGUUUAUUACAAUGUGCUGCACAUUCUAGGUAUUCAAAUACUUGUUGAAUUACAGUGAUUUGUAUUAAGUCAAUGGUAAAUAUACCAAGAUUAUUCAUCUUUUGACUUUGGGGUAAAAAGGAGAGUGGUUAAAUUAGGGCUUGAAACAGGAGCCUGAUCUAUGUAUACUGCAUCAAGGAAGUUCUUUGUGCCUCAUAAUGUGGGUAUGGCACAGUAUCUUAUACUUAGUAAAUGUGAGACAGAUAUUUAUUGGGUGAAUUAAAUGACUGUUAUUUAGUUGUAAACAAAAGAAAUUUAUUUUUCAAUAAAAUAAGUUUAGAACCAACAAGCAUCAAGGAAAGGAAAAUAUAAAACAAUCUAAAGUAAAACUUCAUAGAACCUUUAUGAUUCUGUGAAUCAGAUAACAUACCUCUACAUUUAUCAUUUAACCUGAGAUUAUAACAUGAAGCUUAACUUUUAAAAGUGUGUGUUUACACCUCUUAUACAGUAGACUUGUCACUAUAAUAGCUGCUAUGUGAACAUGCGGUAACACAUAGGCAUAGCAGAUAGACUUUUCUUAGGUAUGGGAAGCAGAGAGUGGUGGAAAGACACAGGGGCCUAUAAAUUGCAUAGUUUCCUUAAGGUAUCCACAAGAGGAAUUAUAAAAGGAAAAGCAUCACAAAUAUGUGCUUGUGUAAGUGAAUGUAGUCUGUGUUUUUGCGAGAGUAUAUGAAUUAAUAGGGUUCUAUCUCUUUGUAGGUCUAAGUAAAGAACAAGUAAUAUGGACAAUGAAACACAAGUAUUUUCAAGCCAACUCUGACACAUCUUGCAAACUACUGCAAGGUUCAAUUUCCCAAGGUACAAUUAUGGUCACAAUACUACCAUUCAUUUAUUCAUUCACUUGUGCCUUCAAAAAUGUGUCUUGAAAGAAGAAUGUGUCUUGAAUAUCUGCCAUAUGCAAGGUUACCUCAGGGCUGGCGAUAGAAUAAUUAUAAGACUCAAAGGGCUCAUUGUCUGGGGAUACUGACAAGUAAACUGACUAUGGGAUUUCAGAUAUAACAUUCAGGAGAACAUCGGGUUGCAGAUUGAUAAUGUAAAAUCCUAUAGAUACUUGGGAUAGUUGUAAAGGAGUAAGUGAGUCUCCUUAGGAAGAAUAUGAAAAAAUAACAACAUGUAAGAGAUGAGCAGGGAAAAUAUUUGGAGUAGACUAAGAAAGAACAGCCAGAGAAGUAGGAAAGAAAACUAAGACAUAGUAGUGAGGAAAGAGUUUCAAGAGAAAGUUGCAUUUUUUUCAAAGGCAACAAAAAUAAAAAAAAAAUUCAGGAAACGUUAAUGGUUCUCUAAUUCCUAUUAGUAUAUAUAAACUUACCAGAGUUACACUCAGAAAAAUUUCAUGAAAUUCUCCCAUCUACUUUUCCCACAAGCAUUUUCCUGUUUCUAUCCUUCACUUCUACUCUUGAAGGAUUUGAAAUACUCAUUGCACUAUGAACAUGCUGAAAACUUGCCUUCCUCUGUGAUUUAGCUGAUGUUGUACCUCUAAGUAGAAUGACCUCCCCCAUUAGAUAAGGCACAUCUGUCCACUUUCUAGCAGUACUUAUAGGCCCACGUCUUCUGUGAAAACUCUCUUGUUAAUCUUUCCCAUUUGUAAACUCCCAUAGUACUUUUAUUAAUAUCUUCCUUGACACUUACCAUAUUCCAUACUGGAUUAUAGAUAUAGGUAUACUGUAUAUACUUUCCUUAUUCUUUCUAUGAUUUUUCAUGCAAGAGUCUGUGCCAUAUUCAUAUUCAAAACCUCACCAUAGCACCAUGUGUAUAUAGAUGUUCAAUAAAUAUAUGCUGAAUGCUGAAUAAGUAGAUGCUUGAGUACCUGUAGAACCAACAUGAUGAUUGACACAUAGUUCAUUCUCAAUAUUUGUUGUAUAAAAAAUUGACAAAACAAUUUCCUAUUAUUUAGCCUUCAAAUUCCCUUUCUGAUUUUCUUUCAAGCCCAAACAUCUAUUAUCUUUGUGGGAAAUAACUCUGUGACAAAAUUUCAGGCCAGUGUGUUGGAUACCUUGACUUAUAUUUCUGUAUUAACCACAGUAAAAAUUCAAUAUUAGUUAAAUAAUUAACCUUAAUUAUGUGAUAACUCUGACAUGGGGGAUGACUAUUCCAUUAUAAUGAAAAUGCUUCUUGCAAAAAUUAUCAAAAAUAGAAUAUGGUGCCUGAUGAAUCAGUGGUUUGACAGUAUUCAAUGUCUUUGUGUAAUUCUUGGUUCCCAGACUCAAAGACAAUUUGUCAGGAAGGGUUACAGGUUAUUCUUGGUUCAUAAAAGAAUUCUAUAAAUUAUUUUCUGUUCAUUUCAGCUAAAUUAUGUUUAUUUAUUUCUACAAGAUAGAAUAGAACUUAAUAUUCUAGGUUUCUGAAAACUCCUAACACUAAUCUUUCGAUUUAUUGUUAUUAAAACAAAUUUAUUUAAAGAAACAAUAGGGGAAGACAUAUAUCACUAUAGAAAAAAAUUGGAAGUUGUUUCAGAAUCUUAUUCUAUUAUGAAAUAAAAGUGGAAUUUGAGGUUGAAGUUUAUUCAACAUUUAUUUUCAGGGGAAUCCUUUCAAUUUUUUUAGAAAAAAUAUUUGAAAGACCAAUGCUAUAAUACCAUUAUGAAAACCAGACUUCUUAGGAAGAUAGUCUUUUGUGCACUUCAAAAUGAUUUUGGUAGAUGAACAUAAAAUUUUCAUGGGUGGGGAUGGAUGUAUUGAUCAUUUAGAUUACAAACAGCUUAGAAAUAUCUCAAAUUCCUUUUUAAAAAUGUACUGAAAAGACAUUAUGAAAGGUGGAGUAAAUCAUGGUUUUUCACAACUCUCCCAAAUAUUUGUUUGCCUAAAACAGGUACAGAAAUCUGAAAGUAGACAUAUGCAUUGACAUUUUCUUGACAGAUUCAUAACUCUAUGGUUUCCAAAACUUUAAUGUUCAAUAACAUUUCAUUAGUAUACUCCAGUGUAUUUAUUACUAUGCAUUAUUAAUACAGAUAUGUGCCUAGGAGAUGUACAAUUUGUAAUUAUUUUUCCUUUCAAAACAUAAUAGCUUCACACUGGGCUUGUUGCAGCUACGAUAUUUCAUCUCUGAAUUCUCCUUCAGACUCUCUGGGGUUGUGACAGAAAUUUGUAUUUGAAUAGAAAAGCUGUCAAGAAGGUGCUGUGGUACUAUCCAUCACAUUUUUAAUCCUGACCAUACUUAGAUGCUACUGAGGUUGGCUGUCCAAGACACUAAACAAAGAUUGAAAUUAUGCCUUCUGUUCUUACGCAUCAAAGUUGCACCAUUAUACCAAAUUCAAUAGGCUUGUAUUACACUCUAUUAAUUUCCUAUUAGUUCUCAGCUAUGCAAAAUGAAGCCAUGGUGUCACUAUGGUUUAGACAUGCAACCUUGAUUCCAGCAUCAAAAAAAUGGAACCUGUCACUUCUAAUAAUUUUACAGGAGAUUCUACAAAUGUAAAUCCUUUUUCAUCUUGUCAUCCUUUCAUGUCUUUAAUGAGUUUGCUCACUAACAGUGUAGAAUCUUAAUUUAACUUUCAGAAAUAUUAACAGCUAUUAUAAUUGAGCAUUUCUAGGAGUAUACUAAUUAAUGUGUAAUAAAGAGUAAUUUAUAAUACCUGAAACAUUUAUCUUAAAAAAUUCCGUCAAUAAUUAACUAUAUAUCAGAAAGAAAACAAAGACAAUAGUGAACUCAAGAUUCCUAGCCAAAUUGCUUAUUUUGAGAGAAAGCAUCAUCUAGCUUAAUCAGAUGAUCUACAAAUUAAACUCAACCAUUCGUAAAAGCCAGAGAACACUGUGUACUUGAAAAGCAAGUUAACCAGGGAUUAGCAUGUGAAAAUUAUUCACGGAAAACAGUUAACUCUUGGGAACAGGUGCUAUAGUCAGUCUAACAAUUACUAUACAUAAAAUAUUAGUAUACUCUCUCAUAGACUUUUAUGCUUUAUUUAGAUUCAGUGACUUAUUGCCACUAUUACUGACCUUUAAAUCUAAUUAAAGUCCCUUAAAAUCUAGAUCUACACCAUUUUUAUCUCCCCUGACAGCCUUUAAUUUGAAUGUCUGUAAAUGUCCACUAAAAUUCAUACUGUACCAGUAGCAAAAAAUAGCCUUUGCUGUAGGAGGGUCUCGGAUCUAAUACUUUGCGUUGAAGAAAACAAAGACUCAAUUUUGAGCUAUAAACUCCAUUAUUAAAUUUUCUAAAGAUUAUAUAGAUUGGGUUUCAUAGUAGAGUUACACUGAUUUUUCACUUUAUUGUUCCCAUUUCAUAGCAGUUGAAUUAUUCUAUAAACAAUAAUGUAACAUCAAUUUUAAUACAGAAUCAGUGAAACUGGUCUGGUAUUCCAGAAUACUACAUUCAAGGAGUCUGAAGCCUUAAGUAUUUAGUUGGGGAAGUAACAUUAUGCAAGUCAAGUCUGCCAAGCCACAAUUGCUCAAGUAUUCCAAAUCUUGGCAUCGAGAUUUUACUGUGAAUCUUAACUACUUUGUGCUUUAUCGUGACACAAGAAGUUUUUUUUUUUCUAUAUACAUUGGACACAGAAUACUUUAUUCAUUGCAAUCUUUUCUGUCCAUUACCAUUUUAGGAGAGGUAAACGGCUGAAAGUUUGCCAUUAUCUCAGUGUCAACUUCCAGGGUUAGCUGAAUUUCAGCAUAAGUCAUGAUAUGUAGUAGUUACAAAGUACACCACUUACUACACAAUGUGUAUUUUACUAUUUGUCAAUGCAAAACAUCUUUGAUAUUGAGCCCCUCUAACUUAGCAUUUAUAUUAAGGUUUUUACAAAUAGAAAGAACAUUAAUAGUGAAUAGCUAUCAAACAUUUUUGUUUUCAGGCACUAAGUGAAGUCCUUUGCAUAUAUUACCUCAUUUAAUUUUUUAUUAACCCUAUUAUCAUAUGACAUAUGGCAUAUAAGGAAACAGAUGCACAAAACAGUCAACAACUUGUCCAACUUGUCCAUACAAAUCAUAUGAUUUGUAAGUGUUAGAAACAAGAUUCAAACCCUUGUCUUAACCACAGUUACUACUGCCUCUCAGUGUUAAUCAAUAGAGUAAAAUAACACCUUUUACUUUUUAAAGAUUUUCCUUUUUAAAGAUUAUGUACAACAUUUGAAGCAUUUAAAAGUCAUAUGCAUCAUCUUUUGGUUUUUUUAAAUGUACUUUUUCUCUAUAACAGUAUCAUAUUUAAAAUCACUGCUUAGUCAAGUAGUUCCUAAGGGAGAAAGGUAGAAAACAAUUGUUAGAAAUGGUGUGAAUGGGAGGUAGAUGAUUAGGGGCAGUAGGGACAAAAGACAGAUGUUUUUCUGAGCAACUGGAAUUGGGAAUAUUGAUGUUCAUAGGAACUGGAGAGACUUAAUACUAAGAAUAAAACUUCAUAAGAUAUUGCAAGCUAGAUAAAUGGGUUAACAUAUAGCCCCCAAUGAGAUGGGGAAUAUCAUGUACACACUUGUGAAUUUCUGGUCCAUACAGGGCUUUCUUUAUAUAUAGCCAGAUAUGAAAAAAAUGCUAUUUAGAAAACAGAAUGUCUGCUUUGCCUCUGGUUCUAGGGAAAAAUCAACAAUCUCCUCAAUGGUGAAUAUUAUCUUUUUUCUUUUCCAAGGAAAAACUCACAAUAUACUUUAUGGAGCCUUUUUGGUUGAAAAGUUUGAACCCUAAAUGAGCACUAAAUGACCCAACUUUAGAAUGCUACCUAAGAGAGUGAGAGAGAUUUUAAGUUCAUGUAGGUAGCCUGAAAGAAAGGGCAAAAGGACACCCAUGUGGAGAUGAAAGUGAAGGAAACAAGUUUUGGGAGAGAGACAGAAAGAAACCUGAAAAGGUGAUAGCCUAAGGAAAGGAUAUAGGCACCAAGAAACUCUUAAUGCCAGGAAGGCCCAGUAAAAUUUUAGGACAAUGAUAUUUGAUGCUAACUUUUAAGUUGCUUUCCAUUGUGCUUCAAUCCCACUAUAUUGCUCCAAACCUUUAGUGUAAACCUGAUAUAUGUAAAAGACUUCUUAAGUGUUAUUUGGUAUAGAAUGAAGGAAUAAGGAUAAAAGAAGGGUAAGAGGUACCCAGGAAAAGCAUCAGCUUUCCACUUCUAAGCUGGCCCAAGCAAAUUUUCAGACAUAGGGAGUAGUAUUAUGACUAAGCUGCUAUAUUUGAAUAUUAAAGAGAAUACAGAGGCUGGAGGGACACACUCAUUAAUCACACAUGAAUUAGGUGCAUGUGUAGAAAAUGUUUACAAUGCUAUUAGUAAAAGUUUCUAUGUGCUUUGGGAAACAUUUUUCAGCUGAUAUUGAGUAGCAUCAGAAAUCAUCAAAUAGUUGAAUGUAUGAGGAACUUCUGUUCAUAAAGUGCAACAUUAAGUAUGGAAACAUUGGUAUUAAAGCAAAUUAUUGAUGUAUUGAAUAGAAUAUAACAUAUUUGGAGAUAGGCUUAGUGUAGGUUCUGUGGAAAUAAAUGAAUCACAGAAACAUCCGCAGUUGGAUGCCUGAAAUCACAUUUUCUGUGAAAUGGGAUGUGUUAUUCAAUAAUAUUUUAGAACUUGGAGGUUAAAUGUUAUGCAACUGCUAAUAUGUCCCUAUUGUGAAGAAAAGAACAACACAAAUGAUGGCGCAUGAUGUUAUGUAGGUUGUUAUGUCCAUAACAUCUGAGUCAUCUCAUUUUAGAAAUCUGAUAAAGGAGACCAUAACUUAAUAAUGUGGAGUAUAUAUUCCUAUAAAGUCAAGAAAAUGGAUCCUGGUAAUGGCGUGUGCUCAAAUUAUGGGUCCCUAAGUAAGAAUAUUAGAACAGGCUUCUAUUCCAUUUCCUAACUGCAAAAUAAUCACUGCUUCAGGGAAAAGUUUUGUUUGGCUCUCAUCAUUUCUGCAACCUCCGCCCAGGUGAGUAAGAAGGAAUUAGGCUGUGACCCCGAGAAUGCAGACUAUCCCUAUGUUUGGAAAUGUGUGUGUGUGUGUAUGUGUGUGUGUAUGUGUGUGUGUGUGUGUGUGUGUGUGUGUGUAGUUUUCCACAGUAAUAUAUCAUCCUAGCUUAAUAAGUUAUUUAGAAUAUAAAUUUUAGAAUGCAAGAAAUAUGUAAAUAGGAGUUAUAAUUCCUUGGUUGCAUGUUGGAGUCUACUUUUACAUAAUGUGUAGGGCUAACUCUUCUAACGUGUCACGCUUUCAGAAUGGUUUGUUCCAAUGUCCUCAUGUAUUGAACCCUGAGUUAGCUGCUCCUCUGGAUUGUAUUAUUACAGGUCGUUCCCCCAGUCCAUUAAUGCCUGAGAUAAGUUCCAUCAUCUUUCUUUACUUAUGUGUUGUCUUGGCUUGCUGCAUCAAGUCCUUCCUCUAGUAUCUGACGGCCUUGAACUGCUGACUUUUCCCUUCACUUAAAUCAAUACCAAUUUAAAUCUCACUUUUCAGUUUCUUUCCUUUACCAACUUCUUAUGUAUACACUCUCCCUAUUGUCCUGGUGUCUCUCAACAAACUCUGAGUCCUUCAGGAAAUUAAUAUUUUUAUCCCAUUAUGUGAAGAGUACAAAGUGUCACAAACUAUGGAUUGUUCAAGACAAGGUGCAUCAAAAAGGCCACCCGUUUUUCAUGUUCUCUUUCCUCCUUCCUCUCCCAUCUCUAAAAUAUAUGAUAAAAAAGUUAAAUAUUGUAACAAAAUAAAUCUAUAAUUAUUAAAUGUCUAGAACCAUAGACUGACAGAAUAAUAGAUCUAGAAGGGGACCUUAGAUAUCUUUUACUUUAAUCUUCUCAUUUUAUAUUUGAAUAAUAUAAACCUUAGAGAGUCAUAGUGCAUUGACAAUGGCAAAUCCAGGUCUCAGACCCCAUUCUCCUGACACCCAGUUUAAUGUUUUUUAUUAUACCACAUUCUCCUGAUACCCAGUUUAAUGUUUUUUAUUAUACCACUGUGCUAUAAUAGACUUGAAAAAUAAAUCUCAAAAAGAUGGCCUGAAGUUGACUACAACAAAGUAGUAAAAAAAUGAGGAUAAACAUAUGUGUGCAUGCUUUUGGAUUAUAAGGACAGCAAUUAUUUGAAUGACUGCAAUAAUUAUAUUCAGUGCAUAAUCUAAUAAAAUAUUUUUAAUUGGUAGUCUGGAAAUAGAAAUGAGAAUCACAUUUCUGAUACAGUCAUUUGGUAUUACUCCCAAUAGGUAAAGAAAAUAUAACAGAAAAGAACACUAUUAAUUGGAAAUGAUUAUAGUGGUGCUUGGGUGGCUCAGUCAGUUGAGCGUCUGACUUAGGCUCAGGUCAUGGUCUCAUGUCCAUGAGUUCGAGCCCCGCGUUGGGCUUUAUGCUGACAGCUCAGAGCCUGGAGCCUGCUUUGGAUUCUGUGUCUCCCUCUCUCUCUGCUCCUCCCCUGCUUAUGCUCUGUGUCUCAAAAAAUAAAAUAAAACGUUAAAAAAUUUUUAAAAAAAGAAAUAAUUAUAAAAUAUUACAGGUUUUUAAAUAUUACACUAUAAUUCACAACCAACCUAUAACAGCUUUGGUGCAUAAUAAACCACCUCAAAAAUUAAUGACUUAAUGAAAUAUCCAUCUACUUAGUUUACAAGUUCGUAGAUCUACAAUUUGGCCUGGGAUUAUGUGAGUAGGUCUCAUAAGUGCCAAUUUCAGGUAUCUGUAGUCAGCAGGUAUUUAGGUAGGAGCUCUGCUUCUGGGGAUUGGCUGGCUCUUCACUGGAUUUACUAGGGCAACUGGAGCAUGUUUAUCAUCAACCAACAGAGUGGCCUGGGUUUGUUCACAUGGCAGCUAGACAACGUAACAGGAAAGACAGCAGAACAUUCAAAACCUCUUGAAAUCUAGGUUCAAACCUAGCUCAGUGUUGUUCCUGCAAUUCUAUUAUUUUAAACCCAUCUCAAAGCCAGCCCAGAUUCAUGUGUUGGGAAUAAUACACUCUGAAAUUUAAUGAGAGAAUCUGCAAAAUAACAUUGCAAGGGCCAUGCAUAUAAAGGGGGUAAUAAAUGCAAUCACUUAAAACUCUAUGAUAACAUCCAAACAAUUAACGACAAGUAACAAGCUCAUUCUCUGUCUCUGUCUCUGUCUCUCUCUGUCUCUGUCUCUCUCUCUAUUUAUAUAUAUUUAAUACAGUUAUUUAUAUAUCAAUAUAAUUAUAAAUUUAAAUCCAAUUUUUGUUGCCAUUGUUCACUAUUUUGUGUUUAUACUUAUAUUACACAUAAAUUACAUGUUUCUUAGCUAGUCACUGUUUUUUAAUAAAUGUUUAAAAAUUUGAGAACACAUUUAGAUUUGUGAAGAUACCACAGGGAGUUUGCAUAUACCUCACAGCAUUUUCUCUUAUAAUCAUCAUGUAAUAUUGGAAUGGUAUAUUUGAUACAAUUAACGAACCAAAUUGAUACCUUAUUAUUAACUGCAGUCCAUAUAUUAUUCAUAUCUAUUUAGUUUUAUCUGUUUUUUUGCAUUUUAUUGAACUAUCUAUGUAGUUGCUGAAGCUACUACAUGCAGACAAGAGAAAAGGAGCUUCCUUCCUUGGUCUCUUCCUCCUUAGUAUUGAUUUCCUCCUUGGCCAGGAGCCACUAUUCCUUAGUCUUAGACCUUAGGCUGCUCACCCAGGAACUUCUUCUGGGUCUUGUUCCCUCUAUUCCUGGCUUACUGAAAGUUUUCAUCAUGAAUGAGUGUUGAAUUCUAUCAAAUGCAUUUUCUACAUCAAUUAAUAUAAUCAAAUGAUUUUUUCUUUAACCUUUUGAUGUGGUAGAUACUGAUUGAUUUUCAAAUGCCAAACCAGCUUUUGAAUCCCUGGAAUAAAUCCCACUUGGUUAUGGGGUAUAAUUAUUUUCAGACAUUGUUGGCUAAACUGAAUCCAAUUUGUUAAUGUUGAGAAUUUUUAUAUCUGUGUUCAUGACCUAUGUCUGCACAUUUUAUUUCUUAUAAUGUCUUUGUCUGACUUUCAUAUUAGAGUAAUACUGGCUUUAAAGGAUGAUUUGGAAAGGAUUCCCUCUGCUUCUAUUUUUUUGGAAGAGACUGUGGAACAUUGCUAUCAUUUCUUCUUUUAAGUGUUUGAUAGAAUUAGUCAGUGAAACAGUCUGAACCUGAUGCUUUAUUUUUUUGGAAGAUCAUCAAUUAAUGACUCAAUUUCUUUACUGGGUAAAGGACUAUUCAGGUUAUCAAUCACUUCUUGUGUGAGUUCUGGUAGUUUGUGUCUUUCAAGGAUUCGGCUUAUUUCAUCUAAGUUACCAAGUUUCUGGCCAUAAAGUUAUUCAUAGUUUUCCAUUAUUAUACUUUUCAUGUUUGUGGGAUUUCUAGUAAUGACCAGUCUUUCAUUUCCCAUAUGAGUAAUUUGUGUCUUUAUUUUUUUCUUAGCCUGGACAGAGGCUUAUCAAUUAUAUGAAUCUUCUCCAAGAACCAGCUUGUGUUUUCAAUUAUUUUCUCUAUUAUUUCCCUGUUUUCAAUUUCAUUGAUUUCUGCUCUAAUUUUUAUUAUUUAUUUUCUUCUAGCUUAUUUUAUACAUAAUUUGCUCUUUUUUCAUUUCUUAGGAAGGUACUUAGGUUACUGAGUUUAAAUCUUUAUUUAUUUUUUGAAUGUAUGCACUUAAUUCUAUAAAUUUCCCUCUAAGCUUUGCUUUUGCCACAUCCCACAUUUUGAGAAGUUGUGAUCUCAUUACAUAUGUCAUGAUUUAUUUUUGUUUAAACUUGUUAAAGUGGGUUACCUGACCCAACAUAUGGUAUACCUUAAAUGUUCCAUGUGAGAUUGAAAAACUGUGUAUUCAGUAUUGAAUGGAGUAUUCAAUAAAUGUUAUUUAGAUAAGUUGAUUGAUAGUGUUGUUCAGGUCUAUAUCCUUACUGAAUUUCUACCAGUUUGAUAUAGCAAUUAAUUUUGGAAGGAAUUAAAAUCUUUUUUUUUUUUUAAUUUUUUUUUCAACGUUUUUAUUUAUUUUUGGGACAGAGAGAGACAGAGCAUGAACGGGGGAGGGGCAGAAAGGGAGACACAGAAUCGAAACAGGCUCCAGGCUCCGAGCCAUCCGCCCAGAGCCUGACGCGAAGCUCGAACUCACGGACCGCGAGAUCGUGACCUGGCUGAAGUCGGACGCUUAACCGACUGCGCCACCCAGGCGCCCCAGGAAUUAAAAUCUUUAAUUAUAAUAGUGGAUUUAUCUAUUUCUCCUUUUAGUUCUAUUGUUUUUUAAAAAUCUUUUAAUGUUUAUUUAUUUAUUUAUUUAUUUAUUUAUUUAGAGAGCAUGAGUGGAGGAGGGACAGAGUGAAAGACACAGAAUCCAAAGCAGGCUCCAGGCCCUGAGCUGUCCGCACANUAAAAAUCUUUUAAUGUUUAUUUAUUUAUUUAUUUAUUUAUUUAUUUAGAGAGCAUGAGUGGAGGAGGGACAGAGUGAAAGACACAGAAUCCAAAGCAGGCUCCAGGCUCUGAGCUGUCAGCACAGAGCCUGACGCGGGGCUUGAACUCAGGGACCAUGAGCUGAAUUUGGACACUUAACCAACUAAGCCACCCAGGCGCCCUGAGUUCUAUUGGUUUUUGUCUCAUCCAUUUUGAUACUCUACUGUUAGGUGCUUACACAUUUAGGAUUGUUGUAUCUUCUUGGAGAAUUCUAUCUCUUCAACAUUUAUGUGUGUCCCUUUUUCAUCUCUGAUAAUCCUCCUUCCUCUGAAGUCUGCUUUGUUUAAAGUUAUUAUAGAUACUCUUUCUUUUGAUUAGUUUUAAAAAGGUAUAUUUUCACAAACCUCUUUACUUUUAACCUGCCUGUGUCUUUUAUUUAAAGUAGAUUUCUUGUAGACAACAUAUAUUUGAAUGUUGUUUUUUGAGAUAGCUUAUAACCUCUGCCUUUUUAUUAUUGUAUACAGACCAUUAGCUCUUACAAUUAUUAUUAACAUAAUUGGAUUAAUAUCUACCAUCUCAUAUCUGUUUUCUAGCCAUUGCAUUUUUUUAAUGUUUAUUUAUUUUUUAAGAGAGAGACUGACAGAGUGUGAGCAGGGGAAGGGCAGAGAGAGAGAGGAAGGCACAGAAUCUGAAGCAGGCUCCAGGCUCUGAGCUGUCAGCACAGAGCCCGAUGGUGGGCUCAAACCCACGAACCGUGAGAUCAUGACCUGAGCCAAAGUCGCACGCUCAACCGACUGAGCCACACAGGCGCCCCUAUCCAUUGCAUUUAUUUCCCCCUUUUUUUUUUUUUUUACCCUUUCUUUUUCGCUGCCUUCUCUGGUUGAAUUGAACAUUUUUUUAUGGCUUGAUUUGAAUUAUUUUGCAUAUCAAUUAUACUUCUCUGCAUAUCAAUUAUACUUCUCAUUAAAAUUAACUUAGUGGUUUCCAUAAAAUUUACAAUAUACUUUUUUAUUUUUUAAUGUUUAUUUUAUUUUUGAGAGAGAGAAUAACAGCAUGAGUGGGGGAGGGGCAGAGAGAGAGACACACACAGAAUUUAAAGCAGGCUCCAGACUCUGAGCUGUCAGCACAGCCUGAUGCGGAGCUAGAAUGCACGAACCCGUGAGAUCAUGACCUGGAUCUAAGUUUGCACUUAACUGACUGAGCCACCCAGGCGCCCCUACAAUAUACGUUUACAAUUAAUCCCAGUCUACCCUCAAGUAACACUAUACCACUCCAUGAGAAUUGCAGCUACCUUAUAAGAGUGUACCCAAUUCCUCCUUCUCAUCUCUUAUUACAUCGCUGUCAUUCAUUUCAGUCUACGCUCUGUAAUCACUCAACAUAUUGUUACUAUUAUUACAUUAAAUAGUUAUCUUUCAAAUCAAUUAAUAAGAAAAAGGAAAAAUACUUAUGUUCUUACCCAUAUUCCAAUAUUUUUCAUUUAUGUAAUUUCCAGUUUUUGAUAUAUGUCUUUUUCCUUUUUCUUGAAGAACUUUUAACAUUUAAGAGAAGUUCUGCUGGUGAUGAAUUCCUUCAGUUUUUGUUUUUCUGAAAGAAACCUAUUUCUCCUUUAGUUUUGAAGGAUAAUUUCACUGAAUGUAGAUUAUAGGAUGGUGUUUUUGUUUUAUUUUUCAUUUCAACACUUCAAAUAUUUCAAUCCACUCUCUUUGCUUGCCUGCUUUCUGAGAAGUCUCCCUUAAUUCUUUUCUUUGUUCCUCCAUAGGUAAGGUGAUCCUCCCAUGCUGGCCUUUCUUUCAGAAAUUUCUCUUUCCCUGGUUUCCUGCAGUUUAAAUAUGAUAUGUUAAGGUGUAGAAUUUUUAACUGAUGCCUCUGAGAAGAUGAACUACCUGGGUCUAUGGGUUGGUGUCUGUCAUUAAAUUAGGAAAUUUUCAAUCUUUCAUAUUUCUAAUAUUUCUUGUAUUCCCUUCCUCUCCUUCUUCUCCUCCUAUCUUCUACUUCUACUAUUCCCAUUAUCUAUGUGCUGCACCUUUUAUAAUUGUCCCACAGCUCUUAGAUAUUGUUCUUUUUUUUUGGCCUUUUAGUUUUGGCAGUUUCUCUGUAUGUAUUUUCAAGCUUGCUGACUUCUUUCCCUCCUCAGCCAUGCUAAGUCCACCAAAAGCAUUCAUCAUUUCGGUUACAGUAUUACAUUACUUUGAGGCGCCUGGGCAUCCAACUUUGGCUCAGGUCAUGAUCUCCCGGUUUGUGAGUUCAAGCCCCAUAUCAGGCUCUGUGCUGACAGCUCGGAGCCUGGAGCCCGCUUCGGAUUCUGUGUCUCCCCGUCUCCCCAUCUCUCAGCCCCUCCCCUGCUCAUGCUCUGUCUCUCUCUGUCUCUCAAUAAUAAAUAAAUGUUAAAAAAAAUGAAAAAAAAACAAAAAAACAAUGUUACAUUACUUUUAGUUUCUCUCCUAAAUUUCUUCCUAUUUACAUUGGCUAUCUGUUCUUGCAUGUUCUCUGCAUUCCUUUAGAGCCCCUAACAUAUUAAUUAUAGUUAUUUCAAAUUCCCUUUCUGAUAAUUCCAACAUCUGUAUCAUAUCUGAGGCAGGAUUCAAUAAUUGCUUUUUUGCUUAAGACUGUGUUUGCUCUCACCUUUUGGCAUGUCUUGUAAUUUUUGUUAAAAAGCAGACAUGUAUCAGAAAUAAGAACUGAGGUAAAUAAGUCUUUAGAAUGAGGUUUUGUGUUAAUCUCUGUAGGAAUUGUGCUGUGUUUCAUGUUUGCUGUGGCUGAUGGCACCAGAGUCUUCAAAUUUCUCUUGUGUCUUUGUUUUAUCUCCCUUCUUGACUUUGGAACACCCUGGGUAUUCCCCCUGAAAGGCAGUCUGCAUAUUAUUGUCAGCUGUAAUUUGCUAUUAUUAUAUUGGAGCCCUGUUGGUAUGGUGAUAAGGUGUGGUGAAGAAAUGACCUAUAAUUUUAUGAACAAGUCUCCAUCUUUUUGUGUCUCUGUGUUUCUGUGCUAUGACCUUCACAAGGAUUUCUCCAUUGGUAGAAAUUGUCCCACUGACUUCACCCCCACCCUCUGCUUAGAUGAUACAGGAAGGCUGGAGAAGACUGGAGCUGGAUAUUUGUCCUUCUGUGAGAAGGAUAAAACUUGGUAAAAUCUUUUCCCUUGAGGGUAGGCCUUUUUACGGAAAACACUUUGGAUAUAUUUUACAAUGAUUAUUCUUUUACUCCUUCUGCCAGAGCCGUAAGUCCAUAUUCUUGGAUCUUCACCAUGAGAGCUUGGUGAGGUUCCCAGAAGUAAAAUCCAUGAGACUGUGGGGUCCCUUCUAAGACUGUGACCCCAGAAGUUUCUCACUCUCUUCAUAGUUCACAUUCAGCUUCCAACAAUUCAUCAAAUUGUUGGAAGUGCUUUUUACCAGUUAUGGCUCCUACAGCUUAUGCCGCCUAUAGCACAUCUCGGCUGUGACUCUCUGGAUAUACCUGUAUCUGUACAUCUCAGUGCAAUGGUUUGCCAACUUCAGGUUUCUGAUGGGUUCAAGAAAAGUAAUUGGUUUUCAGGUUUUUUUUUUCUUAUUGAAAGGCAAUUUCCAUGCUUUUUACAUGUCAAGGUUUAAGCUGGAAGUCUCUCAAUAUAAUUUUAUAUACCAUUGUCUCAGAGUUUUGAAGAUUAAAUAAUGUAAUUCAUAUAAAGCACUAAUAUUAGUGCCUGACUCAUUCUAAGAGUUAGUUCAUGUUAUUACUACUAGUAUGAUUAAGUUCUAGAUAGUUUGUUAUUUGGGAUACAAAGAUGAUUAAAAUACAAACCAAUUCACAUAGUCUGAUAAUGAUUAUUUGCAUGAUUAGAUAGGUUGUUCAUUUCUGUCAUUUUAUAGUUGAGGAAAAUGAACAUCAGAAAAUUUAAAUGACUUGCCAAAGUAACCUAGUUAGAUAGCACUCUAGUAAAUAAACAUUUGCCACAUAUAUAUAGAUUCUGAAGUUAUAAAAAUUAUAACAAGUAUUUAGGUUAAAAAUAUUUUAGCUAAUAUAAUAAGUUUCCUUUGAAAAUUCAUAAGAUUUGUUUACUGCCUCAGUACAUUUUUUAAACUCAUUAUUUAAACUAUAAUAAUGUGAAAAUGUUAUCUUUGAUAAUUUAUUGUGCUAUAAUUGAUAAUGGGUCCAGGACAUGAAAAGGAAGGUUUUAAGGAAAUGGAAAUGAGUUUAGAGUAUCCAAAAUCAUUUUUACAUAACUCCUAGACUAUGGAGUAACAUGUUAAAUGUAUUUGAAAAUGGUGUAAACCUCAGGAAUUAAUAAAAAUGUAAAGCUUAUGAAAGAAGUUUAUUCAGCACUUUUUGUGUGCCAGUUUUGUAUUGAAUAAGCCCUGAGCAUAAUUCCGUGGUCCAGUCUAUUAUGCAACUGCAAAUGAAAUUUACCAUGAAUUCCUGAGGAUUAUGUGAUAGUUGGGCUGAAUUGUCAUUACCCACCUAUUUCUCAAAAGCUCCUCAUUACCUACAGGAAAAAAUACAGACUUAUCAAUAUGACCCUUCAUGAACAGGUGGCUAUUAACCUAUCCAUCCUCAUCCAUAUACCCAUCCUGUCCUGAGAACUUGACCAUUCACCUACAGGAGUGUUUCAAAGAAGUUUGUAUAGUGGCAUCCCAUCCUCAAGAUCCUAUCACUGGCUUAUGCCAUGAUAAUCAGCAUAUCUUUCCUCGUAAUUUUCAAUAUUGAGUCAGAUAUUAUAAUUAAAGAGUUAAUGUCUGAUAAUCACACCUAUCAUAAUAAUAGCUGAGUUUAUUGAGUAUUUCAUAUUUGUUCAUGACUAUACAGAGCACUUUGUUUUAAUUUUCCCAUUAAACCUUCUAAACAACUCUAUAAUAUAGGUACCAUGUAUUCUUGUCUUACAGAUGAGGAGACUGAGUCGUGAGAUUAAGUAGCUAUUCAUGUUCACUAUGCUAUUUUCUCAUCACAAGGUCUUCCGCCUUUGAACAGUGGUCACAUCUUAAAACAGAGGAAUGCAUUUUUAAUGAUGGAACUUUAGGUGUGGAUGGAAUUGAAGAUCAUAAGAUGACCUAUUGCUGCUUUUCAAUUCAUAUAUAAAAGUUGAUCUGCAAAUCCACAUAUGAUUACAGUCAGAUUUUUUCAUUCAACAAUAUAGGUAUACCCUGAUAUACUGCUUGAUUUUUGCUUCUUACUAUCUUACCCUGAAUAAGCCCAGACAUAACUAUGCUGAUACCUAAUACCCAGUAUCAGACAUUUGGCAACACAGCCAAUUAAAUGACAUUUACUGUGCUAACUGAGCUCUCUCUAAAAGGAUUAUUGAAAGCAAAGUUUUUUGAAUUAAUACUGUGUGUUUGAUUUAUUUAAAUUAUAUUCAUAAUUAGUGUUUAUAUUUUAUGGUAUGACAUUUCAUUUUCAGGAUUAGAAUACAAUUUAUAAUAUUGUAGAGAUGGACAAAAAAGAUUUAACUGAAGACCGCUAAGUUUGAAAAACUGUAGCCUAGCAACCAAUUAUGUCUUACAUUAUAGAAUAUCUGUAUAGAUCUUCCUUGACUUAUUAUGGGGUUAUAUCCCAAUAAACCCAUCAUAAGUUGAAUAUAUUAUAAGUAAAAAAUGCAUUUAAUACACCUAACCUAUUGAACAUCAUAGCUUAAUCGAGCCUAUCUUAUACAUACUCAGAACACUUACAUUAGCCUACAGUCAGGCAAAAUAAUCUAACACAACAUCUAUUUCAUAAUAAAGUGUUGAAUAUGUCAUGUAAUUUAUUUAGUGCUGCACUGAAAGUGAAAAAUACAAUAGAUAUAUAGGUUCAGAACGCUUGUAAGUGCAUCAGUUGUUUACCCUUGUGAUCGUGUGGCUGGCUGGGAACUGCAGCGUCCUGCUGCUGUCCAGCAUCACAAGAGAGUACUGUACCACAUUGUGCUGUCCAGGAAAGGAUCAAAAUUUGUAGUGUACACUGAAUGUAUAUUGCUUUUGCGCCAUCGUAAAUUCUAAAACCUGUAAACCAAACUAUCCUAAAAUCAUAAGUGCCCAUACUUGUAUCAAAAAAACAGGAACCACACUAAACAUUUUAGCAAUUAUAAUUUAAUAUAGGGAAUUGAUUACACAGGUAUUGGAGGACUGAAUAGACAAAAAGGUGACAUUGAGCUAACACAGAUGUAAACUAGAGGAAACAGCUAUCAUUGCUAAGAAACAAGGAAAGUGGAAAAUCUAGGUUCUUAGAAUCUAGAAGCUUGGAGGAAGGGCUCUCAGAACUGGUUUUGGAGCUUUGAUGAGUGGCUGCUGCUUUACUAGAGAUGUCAUCUGUGGGGAGAAAUGAUGAGAAGAUCUGGGAGUGACAAAAUGUAGUUAGAUACUGGAGGAGAUAACUUCCAUCAUGGUGAGGGACUAUUUUCAGAGCAUGAAACAGUACGGAAAACAAGAAUGUCCAAGUCCUUUUUAUGCUUCUCAUGUUUUCCAGUCUUUCUCUAGACCUGCUGUCCUCCAACCCCCUUCUUUGAUUCUAACAAUGAAUCAGCUAGCAAAGGAUAAAUAUAGAUUGCAGAGUCACAGCUCUUACAUCAUAAAACUGAGUAUAAGAGGGUGAGUGUAGGGUUGAGAGGCAAAAUGCUAGUUGGCACAAUAUUUAUGAGUAAUCAUUAAUUAGGCAUCUUCAAAAAUUAUAAUUUUGGACAAUUCUGUUUUCAUUUAUUUAAGAACAUAUUUCUGAAAUUGUCAAAGGAUCAUCAAGUGGCAAGAGAAAAAAAGGGGGCAAAGAGACCAGAUCUCAAAACUAUAGUAACUAGUAUUAGCUUAAUGAUAGACAAAAUGAACAAUGGAACAGAAUAGAGCAUUCUGAAACAUUCAUAUAUAUAUAUAUAUAUAUAUAUAUAUAUACUAUACAGGCAUACAUAUAUUCUGUGACAAAGGUGACAGUUUUGUUCAGUGGGAAAAAAGAUGGUCUUUUCAGUAAAUGGUCUAUUCUAUUAGAAAUCCAUAAAAAUCAGUAUAUCUGUAUCCAACUUCAUAAUGUAUUCAAAUAUCAAAUCCAGAUGGUUUGCAAAUCUAAAAUGAAAAUAAGAUAUUAAAAUAGAAAAGAUUAAAAAUACCAAGUUCUGAUAAUGAUGUAGAACAACUGAAACCCUGAUAAACUGUAUAUAGUGGGAGUUAAAAUUAAUAAAAUCAAUUUGGAAACCUGUUUGACAUGAUCUACUAAGUAGAAGAUAUAUAAGUUUCAUUUUCUAACAAUUCCACCAUGAGUAUAUAUACCCAGAAGAGAUGUGUGUAUUUGUUAACCAAAAAUCAUGUAUUGGAAUGUUUACAGCAGCAUUAUUCAUAAAAGUCCCAAGCUGGAAAAUUACCCAAAUGCUCAUAAAUAGUAAAUUGGAUAAAUUGUGGUAUUUUUACACAGUUGAGUACUCUACAGCAAUGAAAACGAGCAAUGAACAGCUAAACUGAAUAAUGUAGAUGGAUGUCUCAAAUUCAUAAUGUCGUUGAAGAAAAGAAUCCAGACAAAAAAGAAUUCACUCUGUGUGAUUCAUUUUAUAUGAAGUACCAAAAUAGACAAAACUAACCUAUUAAAAGUCAAAUUAGUGGUUACUCUUAGAGAUGGGUGACUAGAAGAAGAUAUGAUGGUCACUUUGUGGUGCUAGCAAUUUUCUAUUUCUUAAUCUUGGUGCUACUUACAUAAUUGUGCUCAUUUUAUGAAAAUUAAGCAAAAGGUAUACUUAUUACAUGUACUUUUAUGUGUAUAUUUAUAUGUGUGUGUACAUAUGUGUAAUGUAUAUACUAUACUUCAGUAAAACAGGCAAGAAUAAGAAUAGAGCGGACAUUAUCCCCAUUUAUACAUUUUCUUUUUUUUAAAUUUUUUUUUCAACGUUUAUUUAUUUUUGGGACAGAGAGAGACAGAGCAUGAACAGGGGAGGGGCAGAGAGAGAGGGAGACACAGAAUCGGAAACAGGCUCCAGGCUCUGAGCCAUCAGCCCAGAGCCUGACGCAGGGCUCGAACUCACGAACCGCGAGAUCGUGACCUGGCUGAAGUCGGACGCUUAACCGACUGCGCCACCCAGGCGCCCCUAUACAUUUUCAACAAAUAGGUUUUAUAACACAUUACAAAAUCUCAGAUAUUUUUAUGAAGAGUGUAUAUAUAUAUAUAUAUAUAUAUUUACAAAUACAUUUCCUGACCAUAAGACUGCAGCUAUUUCUUCAAUAGUGUAUGCUUUGUUAAUCAUUGUCAUUUUCAUUGUGGAAACUACAGCUACAUAAUAACAGUGAUUGAAGUAGUUGCUCAAGCAUAGGUCUUUGUCUUUUUCAUCCACUAAUAUCUACAUCUAAUGAAUGCUACUCUGCCAUUAACCGAUGCAGACAUGCUAUGUAACAUAACAUCAUAGUUCUGGAAGUCAGCCCUUUAAGCGCGUAUAAUUUUUGUCAAAUAGAAGAGAACUGACCUGGAUGGUUACACAAUAAGAAAAGUAUUAUACAAAGAAAUAUGUAUGAAUUUGUUUUCUAAUGUUUCAAUGACAAGGAAGCUAGACCUAUAAAUGCUGUUUAUUUACUACCAAUGACGCUUGGCUAUAUUUACUUCAGUUUAUUUUGCACAGUCUUCUUUAUGAUAUAAUUACAUGCACCACUUUCAGCUGAGAUGAGCUUUAACAGAAAGCAUAGGUAUGUAAAAUAUUUGGAUACUUAUAUUUUCAGAUGUUUAUUCAAAAAUCUGAAAUUACACUUAAACACAAGGGUUGAUAAUAUUGUAGUAGUAUUGCACAGCAAGAGAACAUAACACAUGUCCCAUGUAUAACCAUUGUUAUUGCUAAUUCAAAAUGAUUACCAUAUGUGUCAUGGAUAUAGGCAUUUUUUAAUUCAAAAAUAAGAUUUUAUUUCCACCAAUAUCGGAUGGAUAUGCAGAGAAACCACUGCUAGUAUACAGUACUUUAAACUUUUAUCUCUCUGUAUGUAAGUGUUUCUAUAUACCUUUUUCUUUAUUAAAAAGCAUGGCUAAGUUUAUAUUAAAGUCAAGAAGGUUAGAAAUGGCAAAGUAGUUCUAUUACACAGAGACAGUCAACCUCUGGAGCAGGUGUUUGCCCUGAGGGUGCGUGAAGAUUGCCAUUUUCCUAGAGACUGGGUUUUAAUGGAAUAAGGUUAAGAGGAGAUAGGUGGGAGGUCAGAUGAAAAACCCCUGUAUAAUGCCUAAAACCACAAAUGGUGACACUAUCAGUGGAUAAAUUUGAAAAAAAAAAAAAGAUCUCCCCACAGAGAAAAACAGUUGGUGUCAGAGCCAGUUUUGAUCUUUGUUCUUUCAACUAAUGAAGUUGACAGUUUCCCUAAAUAUUUGAAACAAAAGAAUCAAGACAGUAAGCAAUUGGGUAAGGCAUACUGCAGAAAACCAUGAUGUUAGGAUUAUGUAGACUCUGAUGUAUUGCUUUUUAAAAAAUUAGGAUGUUUGCAUACAUUAGAGUAAUAGUAAUUAAAGCAAUGUAUGUGAGAUAGUGGCCUGCAUAACUCUUAUACAUGGUAGAAAAUGUAUUUUAGGGUAGUGAAUAUGCACCAAAUUAAACAGGAUCCUAUAGCCAAUGUAACACCGCUUGUCAUGUGACAUACUAAGAGACAUCUUAAUGUUAUUUGCUGUGGAUUUUUGUGUCAAGGAUGAUAAUUGCCAUUGUGUGACUGACAUUUCUCAAAUUCUGACUGAAACUAAAUCUAGAUAUAUAAAGCAAUAUAUAGUAAAUCAUUAAAAUUUCAAUGUACCAUAUGAUUUUUGAGCAUAUAUAUAUUUUUUUUUUAAUUUUUUUUUUCCAACGUUUAUUUAUUUUUGGGACAGAGAGAGACAGAGCAUGAACGGGGGAGGGGCAGAGAGAGAGGGAGGCACAGAAUCGGAAACAGGCGNNNNNNNNNNNNNNNCCCGGGGCCGGACGCGGGGCUCGAACUCCCUGACCGCGAGAUCGUGACCUGGCUGAAGUCGGACGCUUAACCGACUGCGCCACCCAGGCGCCCCGAGCAUAUAUAUUUUUAAAGAGUAAUUUAUCAAAAGAUAGACACAGAUUUUACAUAUAUAUUUACAUCUCACAUCUGUUGCAGCUUGAGUGAGACAUAAAGAAUGUGUAAAUGAUUCUUAAAAAGUAUUGAGGUAGACAAGUUGAUCUGUUAUGGAACCAGGCUGGAAUGCUGGUGGAAAAAACCAAGCAGCACUCAGAGAUCUUGGUGGAUCGGAAAUUUAUUUAACACCGGCGGGCUCAGAGGAGACCAUUUCUCCCNNNNNNNNNNNNNNNNNNNNNNNNNNGGGGGAAGGGUAAUUUAUAGUUGUCAGCUUCCAUAUCUGUGGCGGGUUUUCGUGUGUGCGGCCAACAGGGCAAGAAGAACCCGAAAGAGGGGUCUCUAGCUUAGAGACCAGCGCUUGUUUUAGUCCUGUCAGCCAUCUUUGGUGCAGUACUUUAUUCGUUUCUCCAACAUUCCCCCCUUUGAUGCCUUAAAAAAAAAAAGUUCAGUUUUACAGGUUGGUACUCUUGGAAGGAUAAGAUACGUGCUGUGGAUUGGUGAGCAACAGUGUUUUCAAUAAAACGUACCAGAGUAUUUAGUAUCCAGGGGCCGAUGGUCACAAGUAAAGUUAUGGGAAGGAGGGGCCCUGCCAGGGCAGGGAGCCAGGAUGCCCAGUCUGUGAGAUCCCAUCCUCUCCAUUGACUGAUAUUUUCCUGUUGUCUACAUUGAAUUCUUUCCUUGAGUUCCUUAACCUUAGUCCUGACUAUUCCUGAUUGGUUUACAAAAUAGAAACAUUCCUCCCCCAGAAAGAUACAAGUCCCUCCUUUUUCUUAAGUGAGGAGGUUGAGGGCUAGCCUAUUUUGGAGAGACACUGCUGCCAGGGAGUUUAUUUGGCUUUAUUAGAUUACCAGGGUGUCUGCCAUCCAUUCCAUGUCCUAGUUUGUUGGUGCAGUCUCUAUUAGCCCAACAGCAAGAAGAUCAGGACUACGACACCAGUGAGGUGCAAGGGCUGGCAGAGUUGCAUCCGAACCCCUGGGCUCGGUCCACAUGUUGAUUCCUCAAGCUUCUGCCGAGAGCAGGCCAGCCAGCUUCUGGGCUGUGGCUGGAGCAGGGCUGGAGAUCUCAGGGGCCAGUGUCUUUUUGAGGGUCAGUUUAAGCGGGUUGACUGGAUCUGGAUCACUUGGCCAGGUUGAGGGUUCCUCUGAGCUGGCCUUCUUAACUCUGGAAUGAUGGACCCAUGGGAUGAUACCUGAAACUGAAUCCUCUAUUUAGUUGUAUAUCUGUAAAGUCCACCUCCAAGUCUUCGAAAGGGGCGGGUUUCUGGUAACUGUCCGAUCAGGUUUAGGGAAGAUAUGGUUUGCAUAUUUAGAGAUCCAUCCAGUUUUCCAGUUGCUUAAAUAAUCAUAUGCCCAUGGGGUCUUAUUAUUAUCCCCAAAGAAUAAUAAGCACAGAAGACUGUCUAUACGUGAAAUACUGUGACAGUUUUUCUGAAGUUUACCUCAAGUUGUCUAGUUUAGGCAAACAACAAACAUUUAAAGACAAUCAUAACUAGCAUUUAACAUCCAUAACUGUGCAUUGUUGAAACAUAGUUGUUCUCUCUAAAACCCACCCUUUCCAGAGAUAGCAAAAUUGAGACCAAUGCAUUUGUAGAACAAGUCCAGUCUUAACAAACCUGGCCUAAUUAUUUAUAUAAGCUCAGCAAGAACAGCGAUUGAUCAUGCGGCUCUUUUAAAGUUUGCUUUGCUGGAACCUUUUAUAAGGAAUCUCCAGAUUGAACUUUUAGUCACCUCUCCAGGCCAGAAGCCAAGCCAAAUCCUUGCCAUCAGACAGGCCUGCAAUACCUGUAGAAUUGGGUGAAUUCCUCUUCAUGAGGUCCCCAAGAUAUCCUGAGGUUCCUGCACCUGCCAGGAAGNNNNNNNNNNNNNNNNNNNNNNNNNNNNNNNNNNNNNNNNNNNNNNNNNNNNNNNNNNNNNNNNNNNNNNNNNNNNNNNNNNNNNNNNNNNNNNNNNNNNNNNNNNNNNNNNNNNNNNNNNNNNNNNNNNNNNNNNNNNNNNNNNNNNNNNNNNNNNNNNNNNNNNNNNNNNNNNNNNNNNNNNNNNNNNNNNNNNNNNNNNNNNNNNNNNNNNNNNNNNNNNNNNNNNNNNNNNNNNNNNNNNNNNNNNNNNNNNNNNNNNNNNNNNNNNNNNNNNNNNNNNNNNNNNNNNNNNNNNNNNNNNNNNNNNNNNNNNNNNNNNNNNNNNNNNNNNNNNNNNNNNNNNNNNNNNNNNNNNNNNNNNNNNNNNNNNNNNNNNNNNNNNNNNNNNNNNNNNNNNNNNNNNNNNNNNNNNNNNNNNNNNNNNNNNNNNNNNNNNNNNNNNNNNNNNNNNNNNNNNNNNNNNNNNNNNNNNNNNNNNNNNNNNNNNNNNNNNNNNNNNNNNNNNNNNNNNNNNNNNNNNNNNNNNNNNNNNNNNNNNNNNNNNNNNNNNNNNNNNNNNNNNNNNNNNNNNNNNNNNNNNNNNNNNNNNNNNNNNNNNNNNNNNNNNNNNNNNNNNNNNNNNNNNNNNNNNNNNNNNNNNNNNNNNNNNNNNNNNNNNNNNNNNNNNNNNNNNNNNNNNNNNNNNNNNNNNNNNNNNNNNNNNNNNNNNNNNNNNNNNNNNNNNNNNNNNNNNNNNNNNNNNNNNNNNNNNNNNNNNNNNNNNNNNNNNNNNNNNNNNNNNNNNNNNNNNNNNNNNNNNNNNNNNNNNNNNNNNNNNNNNNNNNNNNNNNNNNNNNNNNNNNNNNNNNNNNNNNNNNNNNNNNNNNNNNNNNNNNNNNNNNNNNNNNNNNNNNNNNNNNNNNNNNNNNNNNNNNNNNNNNNNNNNNNNNNNNNNNNNNNNNNNNNNNNNNNNNNNNNNNNNNNNNNNNNNNNNNNNNNNNNNNNNNAUUUGAGCAGAGAGAAAAGCAGAAUUUCAACCUUAUACCAGUGUACUUUUAAAAUUCCAUUCAUCUCAACCUUAGUCCAUCCUGAACACACAUAAUAUCCCUUUUCAGAGAUUUCCUUUCAUGAACCUUUUACAACCUUCCUUUGCCUUCAAACUUUGUCCCAAAGCCAUUUCUCUCCAAAUAACCAGUCUCAUUUAGGACAAAAUUACUUUCUUCUACCCUCAACAAAAAUGUAUUUCCAUUCCUUAUAUCUUUCUUACAUACCUCCUACUUUCCUACAUACAGGGUUGCUUUCCUUAUUUCCAUCAGUCAAGUACACUUAACAGAAUUUAACUCUUAGGAAAACUUAGCCUCCAACUGAGGACUUAGUAACCAACUGAGAGGUGUUUAUACCAGAAUUUUUUAGAUGGUAAAUUCAUGAACCAAUUAAGUACAAAGUAUGUUUUCCAAUAGGCCCAAAUAGCUUUAAUUUCUCUUCAAUAAGAAGUUAAAAACACAAACCUAUGUUCAGUAAUCAAAGCUUUAGCAAUUCAUUCUAUUUGGAAAAGACCUAGAUAUCCAAGGGGGUGCACUUGACUCCUUGACCUUGAGGAUGGGAGGAGGAGGCCAAUGGUGCCUGAGGCACUGAGGAGGGUAUAGGAACCAAUUAUGUAGACCACACCCAAGUUGGUGCAGAAACAGCAGGGGGACGGGAAGGCAGAAGAGGCAAGGUGCCAGUAGAAGGCAGAGAAGGAAAACCUAAUUCAAAACCUUAACUCACACAGGGGAGCAGAUGCCAUGUUUUUUUCCACCAAAAUGGAAAUAUGGAGUCCACAUCAGGCCAGAGAAGACUGGGAAUUUCCCAGAAACAAAUGGAGUUUCAGCAACUACUUGGGAACAUUCCUUAAAGUCCCCAUCCCGAGGUAGACUAACCACAGUUGGCUCCAAUUAUAGCUAUUAACCUGGGAAAUGAGGGAGAAUCCCUCACAUCUAUUAGGCAGAGGACCAGGGAGAGAGAGUCAGUGUCCCCCUUCAGUCUGAUUCUAUCUUGGCCAGACCAAUAAGGUCUCCUUCUCGAGGUUCCUCCUGAUAUCGGCUGGGUUUCUGGGACUUUCCCUGGUUGGAACAUUUAUUCUUUUAAUGUCCUUUCUCCUUGCAGUGGGCUCACUGACCCCUUGCUAAGGAGGUCCUGGGCCUCCCCGCUUUUGGCGGCUAGACCUUCCCUGUCCCUUUGUUGUGGCUGUCUUAUGCCUCUGGAGCAAACAGGGUAUAAGCCUCGCAUAGCCUCUCAUAAUAAUCCCCAGGGGAAUCCCCUUGCUGCUGGGCAUAUUCAUGGGCUUCUCAGCCCCUGCUCUGAUCUCCUGGAGGAGAGCCUCUUGGUACCAGUGGAUGUGGACUGGCAUCUGGAGAGCACCUGCACCUGGCGGAGGGCACAAUCUGGCUGCUGGUCCUUGUGGGGGAGGGUUCUCCAGGUCCAGGAGGGGAGGAGAGAUAAGCAGCGUCCAGGGCCGAAGGAAAGAGAGACAGGGGAGGAGUUUCAAGCUCAGGGGCAGCAGGGAGGGAGCCUAGUGAGUCAUAAGUUGGUGGAAAGAUGGGAUCUUCCUCUGGCUCUCCUGCAAACACUAGGGGAGCGGUGAGUUGCUUCUUUGGUUCCCUGGGUGAGUUUCCAGAUAAGGCGGCUAAAACCUUUGCCUGACUCUGCUUGCUAUGGAUGAAUCACACCCAGGGUGGAGGAUUUCAGGCAAUUUCAAGCCAGGAGCCUAUGUAUGGAAAUUUAUCAGGGUGACCUGGGUCUCUGGAGACAACAUGCCAGAUGCAGCAGACCAUUGGGACAUGCAAGGUUCCCUCAGAGGGCCCUCCUACACCAGAAGUGGGCCAUUCUAACUCACAUAGGAUCCUUAAGGUGCCGGGGGUUAUCUUAAUUCCAUAGUCUCCCCAAAACCCCUUCUUUGCUCUGUCCCAACCCCAUAAUGUUCUUGUGAGGCAGUCACAAAGACAGACAGAGGGAUAGGGGUGCCCCCACUAAUGAGGAGACCAGUCAGAUGCCUGUCUGGCCAUGUCCUGAAGGAACUUAGGUGAUGCUUAGCUGUAGCAGUCUCAGCUUUGUGACUUACGAUUGGAAACUAUUCUGAUGCUGCCAUAGACUGUAUGCCAUUCACCACAGAAUCACAGAUGUGCCCACUCAGACUCCGUGGUCUUUUGGGGACCUUAAGGGUGCCCGCCUGUGGAGCCACAGACUCAAACUCAGCAGGCAAGCUAGACUGAGUCGCACAUUCACACUCACAUACACACCAGAGGUUAUUACAUUACCUCCCACAGAAUUCCUACCUGUGAGACCUCUGAGGUCUCUGGGGAGUGAUCAGGUCCCCCUUCCACUCUUGCCAAUGGGCCUGACUAGAUUGGGCCCCAGCCUUACCAAUUCUGAUGUAGGGUCCAGGUUGUCACCUGCCAAGUCUCCUUGAGUCCGGUGGGAAUGGUGGAGCAGGGCCGGCCUGAGGCGACUGAGUGGGAGACUGCUGAAAUUCAGGCAGGGUGUGCUUUCUCCCUUACGAUUCCUUGUUCUAUCACCACCUCGCCAUUCUCCCAAACCGGUAGCAACAAUGGGCCAGCUCAGUUGGGUUUCCCGGUAAGGGAACCAAAUAUGUUAUGAAACCAGGCUGGAAUGCUGGUGGAAAAAACCAAGCAGCACUCAGAGAUCUUGGUGGAUCAGAGAUUUAUUUAACACCGGCCGGCUCAGAGGAGACCAUUUCUUCAAAGAUCUGAGCGCCGAAUGCAAGAGGGAAGGGUAAUUUAUAGUUGUCAGCUUCCAUAUCUGUGGCGGGUUUUCAUGUGUGCGGCCAACAGGGCAAGAAGAGCCCGGAAGAGGGGUCUCUAAGCUAGAGAGCAGAGCUUGUUUUAGUCCUGUCAGCCAUCUUUGGUGCAGUACUUUAUUCCUUUCUCCAAUAGAUCCACUGUUCUAAUUCCAUCAAUGUAGAGAAUUGCCCUGGUUAUUCCAAAGGUAAUAACAUCAUUUUUUGUUUCUGUAAUUAAAGUUUUUAGUAUGCAAAUGUGUAAAGUAAAAGAUGUGUUGAGAUUGUGGAGAGGACAAUAUCAGUGUGAAGUAAACUUAUUCAGAAUAAUGCUCCUAGACACAAAGUAGGGCAUAAAUCCUCACCAAAAUGACAUUAAUUGUAAUUACCCAUACUUUAGGGAGAUAUUAUCAUUUUAGUUAACAAAGUAAAAUGCCAACAAAGACAAAGAAAAUAGAACUUAUUUAGAAAGGUUUUGGGUACCCCUGGAGAGAAAGUCUCAAAAAUGAAAUGUAGCCAGUCCGGUUUAAAACAAAUUAUGCAAGUCCAUCCAGCAUCUUUUCACUUAAAAGUAGGUAGUAAUAACCUUUGAGGAAAAACUGCAAAAACUACUUGUUUUCUCUCACCAAAAGAAUUUGUGUAUAAGUCUACAUAAUUUAUUAGUCUGGGAGAAACCAUAUGGCUUUAAUAAUUUUGGAUCCAAUCAUAAAUCUGAUAAUUUAAUCACAGGAUGAAAAGCCAAGGAUCCUUUGAAACCAUAUCUGUAAUGCAAGUUACUAUUCUAUGACAUGCAAUUUUUCCCUUCACUGAAGUUGAAACAUAAAUAAAUGUGGAUGGUUAAAAUAGUACAAACUUAAAAUUUUUGCUGGAGAGUUUGGAAAUGGCCCUGAAUCUGUAUUGGGGAUUUUAAACUCUGGACAACAUUUAUCUCCUUUAAACUUAACCUGAGUAUACUACUUUGAGGAAGAAACCAUUUCUAUUGUGCUUAGAUGUGAUGUUAAAAUCAGCAUCAAGGGGCCCGACUUCGGCUUAGGUCAUGAUCUCGUAGUUUGUGAAUUCGAGCCCCGCAUCGGGCUCUGUGCUGACAGCUCAGAGCCUGUAGCCUGCUUCGGAUUCUGUGUCUCCUCCUCUCUCUGCCCCUCCCCCACUCACUCUCUGUCUCUGUCUCUCAAAAAUAAAUAAACGUUAAAAAAUUAAAAAAAAUCAUCAUCAAUAAUUUUUGAGAAAUCCUGGAAAAUGGAGAUAGAAGUCAGACAACCCCAAUCCACUUAUUUCCUAAAAAGGAAAAAGACAAAUGUUGAUAUUUAAAGACUUACUUGUUUGAAACAUAGUCUGGCAAAAAAAAAUAGCUUAAAUAUGAUUUACAAGCAUUAAAAUAUAAAAGAAUAUGAUGAUCACCAGGAACCAGUAAGGAUUCACUAAGAAGUCCUGGAAAACUUAUAUAAUUUAAUUUUUUAUUAUAGAAAAAUUCCAAACGUAAUAAAUGGUGGAGAAAACAAUAAAACUAACUCCAUGAUCUGGAAUGUGUUUUUCCUGUGUGUUAGGGGCAACAGGAGUUACUGUUUCUCUCCCCUGCUGCUUAAACCUUUGGCUUCUUUUGAGAGAAGGGUCUAGACAGAGGUUGGGGGUUUAGGACUGACACUACAUGGCAGGUGAUCACCUCCUGUACACCUGUACUAUAAAGGGGGGCUUUAUAUAUUGUAUCCUGCCCCAAUAAUUCUCAUGAGAACUCGGAAAAAAAAUCCAUAAUGCCUUUGAGUACAAACUCCCUCUGGAUCUGGGGCCCCCUAGCCUUUACAAACUGACAUACCAACCUCCACUUGUUUUUCUAAUUAUUAAAAUUUUAGCUCAUAUCUUCUUACCAGUUUGUGUGAGAGCCAACUCCUUCUCUUAUACUCUGCCACAGGUAAGCCAAUUUACACAUGUCAUCUCUCUUUGGAGAGGUUUAUCCCUUCUUGAAACUUAGACUAUUUUGUUGACUUGAAACUUCAGGUCUCUGAUGGGUCAAGAGAAGUUCAGAUUUUGUAGUUUAUCUGGCUUUUUCUUACUGUUAGUGGAGAGCAACACUCUUUCCAAUUUGCUACAUCUCAAAUGGAAGGAGAAAUUCAAAGUCCACUGCUUAUAUUUAAAAUAUAUUUAAAAAUGUGUAUUUAAAGAUUUAAAACAGUCCACAAUUCAUCAGUGAGUAUUUAAUUGGUAUGACAAUAUAUUUUAGUUAUGUAUGACAAGGUCGUUUUGUGUGAUGCUUAAGGCUUCUUUAAGGGUAGGAUAUCAUCAUGUUCGUAGUCUCUUUUGGAGAAGAUUUUUUCAAUAUAUCAUGCAACAAAGAGCUCAGGUGAUACUGUGAUAUAAUAAGAAAUACAUAUUUUGUUCUUAGUCCUGGGUCCUGGCCAGAGCUACCAAAAAACCUUAUAAUUUCCUAAGUGAUGAGAACAAUAAUUGUAAUAACAGUUUUGUUCUAAUAUUUAGUUUUUCACCCCAGUUCCUGAAAUAGCUCCAGAGCUUCAGAGUGAUAAGGAUGAAAGGUUUAUACUUAGGUAUUUAUAACUAGCCUCUUUCAGCCACAGCUAAGUUUAUGUUAACGAGGUAACUUUUCAAAAGCCCCUAAGGAUAGGUUACUGGUUGCCAGAGGAAUCAACUAUAUAACUAAAGGGUUGAAACUUUUAGUCCUACCCCAUGACCUCCAAAGAGAGGAGAGGGGCUAGAGGUUCAAUUAAUCACUAAUGGCCAAUUAUUUAAUUGUGUCUAUGUAAUGAAGCUUCCAUAAAAACUAACCAAAAAGUUUCAGACCAAUUCCGGGUUGGUGAACACAUCCACAUGUUGGGAGGGUGGCAUGCACAGAGAGGACAUGGGCUCAAUAUGAGCCCCCCCUUUGUGUCAUGAUAAUUCAAUGCAUGAAUACAGCUUGAAGGUGCUCCAGCCAGCCUUACCCAGGGUCCCAGUACCUGUCUACAUUUGGCUUUAAAACUUUAUCUAGGACUGGUCGGCAUAGAACCCAUAGUGGAGAGAGGAGCCACAGGGUCAUAAGACAUAUAGUUGGCCUUGGAGCUGUCCAGAGCAAAGAGAUUUGCCUUCACUCCAAGGCCACAUAAGUGCCAAUUUCAACCAUUUUCCUUAAAAAUAACACUUUUCUGUGAAAUGGUAUGAAAUAGUUUUCCAUUUUAUUAUGACAAUUUUCAAACAUAAAGAAAAGUUUAAUACUGUUAUAUAGCUACCAAAAUAGCUAAAAUUAAAAAGACCAACAAAAACAAAAUGAGUAUGGCUGUGAAGCAACUGGAAAUCUUGUAUAUUGCUGCAAUAAAUAUAAGCUGGUACAACCACUUUGGAAAACUGGCAUUAUUUUACAAAAGUUGAAUCUAUGCAUACCUUGGGAUUACCAAUUCAUUCCUGACUAUAACUCAACAGAAUUUUAUGCACAUGUUCCCCAAGAGACAUAUACAAGACUGUUCUUAUCAAUAUUAUUCGUAGAAACUAAAAAAUGGAAAUAAUCUGUAUGCCCACCAGUAGUAGAAUGAUAUAUUCUUAAGAUAAAAUGUUAUCUAGCAGCAAAAAUGAAUAACCUUCAGCUACAUACAAAAUAUGGACAAAUCUUGCAAAUGUAAUAUUGAGCCAGAGAAACCAGAUAUGAAAACAUACACAUGUUGUGGUUUGCUGUCUAUAAAGCUGAAGACUAGGAAAACCUAAAUUAUAGACAUAUAGUCUCUGAAAGCUAACUCUAGGGAGGAGCAAGAAGGUGGUUACUGAAAGGGGCUUGAUGGCAGCCUCUGAGGUAUAAGCAAGUUCUAAUUGAUGGCCUGGGUCAUAGGUACAUGAGAUAUGAUGAUUCAUUGAUCUGUUCAUUUUGAUGGUUUGCCUUUGUAAAAAAAAUAAUAUGUCAAUAAGAAGAAAGGAGAAAAAAUUUGAAAGGAUCUUACAGUGCAAACCCAUACACUCAUUACUAUAUACUAUAAUAAACAUUUUACUAUUCUUGCUUUUUUACGUAUCCAUACAUUCCUUUAGCCAUCCAUCAGGACUUACUAUUAUUAUUGAUGAUGAUGAAAAAUGGUAUUUUUGACAUGCAGGUCAUGAAACUAAAAUUUGUGAAACAACUGAGCCUGGCCUCCCCACCACAUUUCUUUGCCAAGUCAGGGUCACCCAAAAACCUACAUCUUCCCUGUCACUAUCUUCCCUGGACCCCCUUCCUUGUCCUAGUUUGUGUAGAUGAGCACAAGAAGUGGAGAUUUUCUGAAGUUGGCAAAAACCAAGGAAACAAACUCCUUUUUGAAGUCAGACCCAUCUGAUCACAAAUGUUUUCUGAAUUACACCAUCAACGUACACAAAACUUCGUCCAGUGAAACCAGCCCUGAAACUGCAAAGCUCAUGCCCAGGUUUGCUAACUUCUGGAAGCCCAGACUGACUUGAAACAUGUCCAAAGCCAUCCUAGAAGAAGAAAAGACUACUGUUAAUUAUGAAAUGAAAUUUCUUUUCUUGGUUUUCAAGGAUAGGGAGAGGCUGAAAAGUGUUGAGAAUACCCAACUGUCCUCUAAAGAAACUUUAAUUCUUCUCCAUGGAGCUGCCUGGAAGCAGCUAUGUAAACCUGCUCUGGAAGUUUGGUUCCUACACGAUGGGCCCUCCAGGGGUGAUGCCUCAAGGAGAGGAGGUAGCCUGUGUGCACAUGCAAGGUGGGAGGGUGGGGGAUGACUGCGAUUUUUAACCUUUUUUGUGCCUUGGAGCCCUUGGCUGUCCAGCGAAGAAUUUGACACCUUGUUAGAGUAGUCUUUUUAAGCAUAUAAAAUUAAUUCAUAGGAUUGUAAACAGAACUGAUUAUGCUAAAAUUCAGUUACCAAAAUAUUUCUUCAAAUUUGUGAUAGAGCAAAAGAUGACUUCCUUACUAUAUUAAAUAACAAGAUCUAGCUGUAGGUCUGAUAACUAUCAUAACUUUGAGGUAGUGAAAAAUGUAACAAUAUUCCAAGAUAUCCACAAUGAUGGGAAUGAAAUAUGAAAACAUGUAUGAUUUCUAUUGUUAUAGGUACUGUUAAUACUAUGCUAUAGGUACCGAUGAUACUAUGCAGCAUUGCCUGCAGUCAUAAUUGAAGGAAAUUGUACAUUUUUAGUUAUAAGUUAGUGACCAUAAAGAUGCCAUUUUUUUCACAUCCAAGCUUACAAAUCCCCUGAAUGCUGUCCGUGGACCUGAGGAUGAGAACUUCUGGAAUAUAGGGGCUUUCUUUUUGUCUCUUUAAUUUUAUUCCUGCUCAUAAAAUGCUCCCUUUACCUAGGCAGAUACCCAAAUGAAUUAUAAAUUGAAAGCAGGGACCCAAACAUAUCCUUGUACACAAACAUGAAUAGCAGUAUUAGUCCCAUUAGCUAAAAGGUACAAACAAACCAAAUGUCCACCAACAGAUAAAUGGAUGAACAAAAUAUAGUAUGUAUAUAUAGACAGGCAGACACACACACACACACACACAUGCACACAUACUGGAAUAUUACUGACACUUAGAAAGGAAGGAAAUUUGGGGGCACCUGGAUGACUCAGUUGGUUAAGUGGCCAACUCUUGGUUUUGGCUCAGGUCAUGAUCUCGUGGUUUGUGGGUUUGAGCCUUGCAUCAGGCUCCGUGGUGGCAGUGCAGAGCCUGCUUGGGAUUCUCUCUCUCUCUCUCUCCGUCUCUCUCUCUCUCUCCUUCUCUCUCUUCCCAUCCCCCCUCUCAAGAUAAAUAAAUUUUAAAAAUUUUAAAAAUGAAGAAAGGAAGGAAAUUCUGACACAUGCUCUAGUAUGGAUGAAACUUGAGGACAUUACACUAAGUGAAAUAAGCCAGUCACAAAAAUACAAAUACUAUACGAUUCCAGUUAUAUGAGGUAGAGAAGUAAAAUUCAUAGAGAUGGAAAGUAGCAUUACAAGGGCUCAUUACUAGGUGGUUUCCAAGGCCUAGGGAUAGAAGAAAUGUGAAGUUAUUGUGUAAUGGGGACAGAGUUUUAGUUUGGGAAUAUGAAAAAGUUCUGGAGAGGGAUGGUGGUGAUGGUUACACAAUAGUGUGAAUGUGCUUAAUGCUGCUGAACUAUGCACCUAAAAAUGGUUAAAAUGGUAACCUUUUUGUAUCUUUGACCACAAUAAAAUAUUUUACAAAAGUUUUUAAAAGACAUAGAAGCUCUGUGAUCCUUCCUUACACCUUGCCCUAUGCAUCUUUUCCAUAUGGCUGUUUCUGAGUUGUAGGUUUUAUAAUAAACUGGUAAAUGUAAAUAAGUGUAGCCCUGAGUUCUGUGAGCCAUUCUAGAAAAUUAUCAAAUCUGAGGAGGGGAUUGUGAGAUCUCACUGAUUUAUAGCCAGUCAAUCAGAAGGUUGGGUGGCCCAGCCAUAAAAUUGACAGCUGAAGGUUGGGGGAAGCAGUCUUGUGUAACUGAGCCUUCAAUCUGUCGAAUCUGGGCCUAAUCCAGGAAGUUAGUAUCAGAAUUGAGUUAAAUUUUAGGACACCUGGUUGGUGUCUUCUGAGAAUUGGAAAAUUUCUUGGUGUGGAAAAACCUACACAUUUGAUGUCCGAAGAGGAGAGUAUACAAAGAGUGUUUUUCUAUUAGCUAAUAUCCACAAUAUGUAAAGAACUGAUACAGAUCACUAAUAAAAAUUGGAUAAUUCAAUAGAAAAAUGAGCCAUACCAUGUGUGCACCCAUGUCCCAGACCCUGGUACCACCUUCAUGUGUGCACCACACCCCUCAGGAGAAAAAGAGAGAAGGAGGAUGCCAGCAGCUAUCACCACUGAGGAUCCCAACAGUCUAUACUGGUGCCACAAACACCCACAGCCCUCACUGCAGAGUACCAUUGUAAUCUUUGCCAAUUCUGAUUGCAGCCAACAAAGCUGUCUAGAAUACAUUUCACUGUGCCCCCCUGAAGUGAGAGUUACUGCUGCAAUGUUGCCAGAGCAGGAGAUGCUGCUGCAUGCUAAACCACCCAAAGCCAGAGCAGAAGAAUACACUGGAAUCAGUGCUGCUGUACACUCCUGGAACUAGUGUUUUCAUACAUGCUCAGACCCAACACCAGACCUGGUGCCACUGCAUACCCUACUUAGCCAGGGCACUUGUACUGGUAUCUUUCCUCGCUAAAGCCAGUUUGUAAAGUCUAGAAAAAGUGACUGCUCCUUCAAAUGUAUAGACACCAAUGCAAAGCAAUAAGAACAUGAAAAAUCAAUGAAACAUGGCACCAUGAAAGGGAUACGAUAACCAAACCCCAAAAAGUUAAGAUCUACAAAUUAACUGUCAAAGAAUUUAAAAUAAUUGUUCCUAACAUUAAAAUGAAAAUAUGCUGAAGACCAAUGUAAAAGCAUAUGAACAUGAACUUUAGGGGCACCUGGGUGAGCAUCCCAACUCUUGGUCUCAGCUCAGGUCAUGAUCCCAGGGUAGUGGAAUCGAGCCCCACAUCAGACUCUGUGCUGAGCAUGAAGCCAUCUUGGGAUUCUCUCUCUCUCUCUCUCUCUCUCUCUCCCUUCUUCCCUCCCUCUGUCCCUCUCCCCCCUACUACUGUCUCUCUAAAAUAAAUAAAAUAAAAUAAAUAAAUAAAUAAAUAAAUCAGAGAAAACAUAAACUUUAUUUGUAAUGUUAAAUAUAUAGACAAAUACAAAAAAAGUAAUUACUGGGUGAGCAAUACUUUUACUACAAGAAUAGUGUUGGGUGGGAGUGAAGGUAAGAAUGUAAAGUUUUGUAUGUGACUGAAGUUAAGUUGUUAUCGACUUAAAUUAGACUUAUAAUUUCAAGGUAAUUUAUGCAAGAUCAGGGUAACUAUAAAGAAAAGAAACCUAUAAUAGACACACAAAAGAUAAAGAGAAAAAACCAAAGCAAAUAAGUACACAAAAUCAUCAAAUAACAAAGAAGGCAGCAAGAGAGGAGAGAAAUAACUACAAAACAGAAAACAAUAAAUAGCAACAGUAAGUUCUCACCUAUCAAUAAUUACUUUAAAUAUAAAUGGGUAAACUCUCUAAUCAAAAUGUGUAGAGUAGCUAAAUAUAUUUAAAAAAUCCAGUGAUAUGCUAUCUACAGAAAGCUCAUUUUUAGAUUUAAGGACACAUAGUCUGAAAGCGAAAGGAUGAAAAAAAGAUAUUUCGUGCAAAUUCAUUCCAGAAUAAAGUAAGGUCGGCUAUAUUUAUAUCAGACAAAAUAGACUUUAAGUCAGAAACUGGCCCAAGAGACAAAGAAGGUCAUUACAUAAUGAUAAAAGGAUUAAUGCAACAUGAUGAUAUGACAAUUAUAAAUAUAUAUACAUCCAACAUCAGAACACCUUAAAUAUAUAAAGCAAAUAACAGAUCCAAAAGGAAAAGUGACAGCAAUUCAAUAAUAGUUUGAGACUUCAAUACCCCACUUUCAUUAACAUAUAGAACAUCCAGAUAUAAAAUCAAUAAAGAGCAAACAUGAACAACAUUAUGGACCAAAUGAACUUAACAGACACAUUUAGAAAUUUCCAAUCAAUAGCAGAAGAAUACACAUUCUUCUCAAGUGCACACAGAACAUUCUCUAGAAUAUACUACAUAUUAGGUCACAAACCAGUCUUGACAAAGUUAAGAUGAUCAAAAUAAUUCCAUGUAUCUUUUCCAAUUACAGUGGAAUGAAACUAGAAAUCAAUAACAGUAAGAAAAUGUGAAAAUUCACAGGUACGUCAAAACUAAACAGCACAUCCUUGAACACCCAUUGGAGCAAAGAGGAAAUCAAAAGGGAGUUAAAAAACUAUCUUUAGGGGUGCAUGGGUGGCUCAGUUGGUUAAGUGUCUGACUUCGGCUCAGGUCAUGAUCUCACAAGCCCUGCGUUGGGCUCUGUGCUGACUGCUCAGAGCCUGGAGCCUGCUUCGGAUUCUGUGUCUCCCUCUCUCUUUGGCCCUCAUGCUAUUUCACUCUCAAAAAUAAAUAAACAUUAAAAAAUUAUAAAAAACUAUCUUUAGACAAAUGAAAACAAAAAUACAACAUGUAUGUAAAAUGCCAUUGAAUUUUAUAACUCUAAUUAAAAGGGUAAAUUUUAUGUCAAGUGCAUUUUGCCACAAUAAAAAAUUUUAAAAAAAGGAAUGAAGUACUGACGCAUGGUACAACAUGGAUUAAACUUGAAAACAUUAUGCAAAGUGAAUGAAGUCAGACACAGAAAGCCCCUUAUUGUAUAAUACAAUUUAUAUGAGAUGUCCAGCACAGCCAAAUCCAUACACAUAUAGUGUAGAUUAUCAAUAGCCUGCCCUGGAGGAAACCUGGAAUGAAGAGUAACUGUUCAUAAGUAGCAUGAGGUUUCUUUUGGGGUGGUGAAAAUAUUCUGUAAUUAGAUAGUGGUGAUGGUUAUACACAUCUGUGAAUAUAACUAAAGCUACUGAAAUGUGCACUUUUCAGCAUGAUUUUGACUAUGCUUUAUAAGGAAGUAUAGCAUAGGAGUUAAAUUCACAGGCUUUGGAAUCAGACAGACUUUAGUUUGGGCCUGGCCUCCAAAAUGUAAAAGCUCUCUGAUCUUGAACAAUUUAUUUUCUAUCUCUAAAGUAUUUUUCCUAUGUAAAGAAGGAAAUUACUAUAACUCAUAUUUAGGUUGUUUCAAGAUUUAGUGAUACUAUCCAUUUAAAGCAUUUAAAGUAAAAAAAAGAAAAAAAAAGAAAUAGUGAGUUUUACCAAAUACUAAAAAAAGAAGAAGCCUGAGAUACUUAGCGUUCAUAAAAAAGGCAGCUAUUGUUGUUAUAAUAAUCUAUUAUUCCAUACAUAUACAUAGAUGAAUGACUGGAAAGAAAUACAUAUUGAUUGUCAAAAAAAUAAUCUCUAGAUGGUAAGAUUAUGCAUGAUUGCUCUUUUCUUCAAAGUUUUGUUUAUAAAUAUUCUACAAUGGCCAUUUUAAUUUUAUAAUAUAGCUAGAAUAAACUUUGUCUAGUACUAUUAAAUUUUUUGCAAUGUUUCACCUUUAAAAAGAAGCAACACUGUUUUAAACUCCAGAAAAUUCUACCCAAUGAUCUUCUAUGAAGCAUUUGCUUAGUUUGUUGGGUGUGAUUUCUGUUUGGGGGAAAUAACCAUGGAAAUCAACACCUCAGAGUACCAUCAUGAUUGCAACUGGUCCAAGUGGUACAAUUGCUGACUGUGUGGCAAGGUCAGAAGUAACAGGGCUGAAGCUACUGCAUCAGGCAGCUUUCCAGAUUGUUGACAGUAGUUAUGUGAUGGAAUAUGCAGCAGAGUGUAGAGCUAUGUCAGGCCAGCAGAUUUAGUGGUCCACUAUUGUUGUUGAUUGGUUGAGUGACCUUUUAAUUGUAACCUAAGUAACUAAGAGUCUUUGUUUAUGGAAGGUUUCUAGGACUGCAGUCUUUCAUAUGCAUCCUUAUAGCAGUGUCUAUAGCACUGCACCACUGUUCAGUUUCUGGCUUUCUUUGGAAGGGACUGUAAAUCUUGUGUUGCAAAGGUAUUGAUCCACAGAAUUCCAGUGUGAUAAUACAAAAAAUCCCCAGCAUUUGCCAACAUAUAUCAUCUGUUUUUAUGAUGGGAAGUUAUACGAUAUUUGUAGAAAAAGAUAGGUAUAAAUACAUUUAAUUUUAUGGUUCAUAGGAUAGCACCAUCAUUGCAAAGAUGGAACAAUUCUUGUGUAAUAUCUAAAAAACACUAUGAAACUUUCUGUUUUUCACCAAAUACAUUGCAUGUAUUUUAUCUUCCUCAAUGCUUUUCUUUUGUCCUAAAAGUCUUUUUUUAAUGUUUAUUUACUUUUGACAGAGAGAGAGAGAGACAGAGAGAGAGAGAGACCGAGAGAGAGAGAGACAGGGCAUGAGCAGAGGAGGGGAAGAGAGAGAGACACACACAGAAUCUGUAGCAGGCUCCAGGUUCCGAGCUGUCAACACAGAGCCAGAUGCAGAGCUUGAACCCAUGAACUGUGAAAUCAUGACCUGAGCUGAAGUCAGAAGCUUAACCAACUGGGUCACCCAGGUGCCCCUUGUCUUAAAAGUCUUUAACCAAUAAACCAAUCUAUGGAAACCUUUUGUAUUAUUCUUCUGUUAUUUGAGUAAAGAGUUCUUAAAUUAAAAUUCUUUACUCCUACCCUGGAUGAGAACGUCAUGUAGAUUUCUACAUACCUAGUUCUGCUCUAAUACUAAAGGAAAAUCUGUGUCCCAUGAAAAGAAAAUCUCUUUUUCUAACUUCCACUCUUCAAAUCAUUGCUUUCUUGCAGCAACUGCAAGCCCUGCCUACCAGAGUACUUUACUCCUCCUAAACAGAGAGACUAGUUUAGCAGUAGGUCAGUGAUACAGAUCAUGCCAAUCUGGACUUAACCAUAGUGAUUGUCUCAGGACAUUAGGGCCAAGUUGAUCUAAGAAUAAAUCCUGUGCUUUCUCAGGCACUACCAAGAGAAUAUAAGCCUGAAGUUGCAGUUGGUCGCCAUAAGGAGAGGGCCUACCUUGGAGUAAAGCCAAUGUAAAGGUAAUAAAUGCCAAAAAAAAAAGGACACUCAGCCUUGAACACAUCAUUAUAGUCCCUGAUUCAAGCUGUUCAUGAAGCUAAUAAUCCCCCACCCUUUUUCUUUUCCUUAAACCAGAGUUUGAUUUUUUAUAUUUACUACUGAAAUAAUACUAACUGAAUCAUAGAAGUACUGUAUAUGCAAAGUGAGAAAAGGGCAAAAAGGAAUAGAUUACUAGGAAAUUGUCACAAAAAGUGUCAUUUACAUUUAAAUGAUAUGCUUUUAUUUUCUUUUUAUUAAUUGAGCAAUUAUUCUAUAACCAUUUGUUAAGCAAUUGUUGAUUGCUAUAACCAUUUAUUAAUAAUUGUUGAGCAAUUAUUCUAUGACCAUUUGAAUUUCUUUUCCCAGUCAAUAAUCUAUGAUCCCUCCUUUAUCAUAUAAGUUCAUAAAUAUAUUAGGGUCUAUUUGAAAGUUAUUGCUCAUCAGUAACAUUUUUCAUGGUAUCAAGGAAGUUUGUCACUGUAGGGAAAUAAAUUAAUAUAAUGAAAAUAUCUUGGGGCACCUGGUUGGCUCAGUCUGUAGAGCAUGCAACUCUAGAUCUCAGGGUAGUGAGCUUGAGCUCCACGUUGGGUGUGAAGCCUACUUAAAAUUAAAAAAAAAGAAAGGGGUCAAGGUCAUCUGGGUGGCUCAGUCGGUUAAGUGUCCGACUUCCCCUCAGGUCAUGGUCUUGCGGUUUCUGAGUUCGAGCCCCGUGUCAGGCUCUGUGCUGACAGCUUGGAGCCUGGAGCCUGCUUUGGAUUCUGUGUCUCCCUCUCUCUCAAAAAUAAACAUAAAAAAAAAAAGAAAGGGUCACCUGGGUGGCCGAGUCGUUAAUCCCCAGGCUCUUGGUUUCAGCUCAAGUCAUGAUCUUCCUGGUCCUUGAGUUUGAGCCCUGUGUCCAGUCGUAGGGUUCCAUGCUGACAGUGUGGAGCCUGCUUGGGAUGCUCUCUCUGCCCCUCUCCCGCUUGUGCACUCACUCUCUCUCUCUCAAAAUAAGUAAAUAAAUACAAACUUAAGAAAAUAUCACACCAAUAAUUCCACUAUCCUCAUUUAAUUUUCCUUUGGAAUAUAUUCAUAUGUACAUAUGUGUAUGUAUGUGUGUGCAUGUGUGUGUAUAUAUGUAUGCACACUGAACAUGAUUUUUUAUUUUUAUAAACUCCACAUAAAACCAACUAUAUUGUACUACAAUAUCUUGUUUUUUAAAAUUGUAUCUUUUUUUCUCAUAUCAUGAAAUUCAAAGUCACAAAUGUAAAUAGCUCCAUAUAAUUCCAUCCUAGGGUUGCACCAUAAUUUAUUUACCUAUUCCUGUAAAUUAGUUUGUUAUUCUUAUAACAUUAAAUAUUAUUCAAAAACAGUUUUGAGUAGCUGCCUAACAGCUCAGCAAAAGGUUAUUCUCACAAUAUUUUCUUUAUUGAUUUCCAUAAUUUUUGAUGUUUAGGUGGUCAAAAAAGGGGUCAAGUUUUUGCUGUUAUGAAACUGCAAUAAAAAAUCUUUCUUAUAAUAGAUUGCUGAUGGUAUUUUGAUUAUAUCUUUAGAAUAAUUCCAUAGAUGUACAAUUACUGUGUCAUGUAUAUGCAUUCUUGGCUAGCUAUUCUGUUUUAAUGCUCUAUUUGUUAAAUCUGUGCCAGUGUCAAAUGGCUUUAUAAAAUGCCAAUUUAGAGGUUGUCUCUCUCUCUCUACACACACACCCCCCCACACACACACAGCCAAGUUCCCCUUUAAUUAUCUUUUUUAUAUAAUUUCUUAGUUUUUCUUACUUUUCUAUUCUUAUAAAAGAAUUUCAGAAUCAUUUGUCACUUUAGUAUAUGUAAUUGAAAUUAUCAUUGGAAUUGCCUUAUUUGUAAUUUAUAAAGAAAUGACAUAUUUACAAUUCUUCCUCUUUCUAUCUAAAUUUUUUAAAUUUUUUUUAAUGUUUAUUUUUGAGAGAGGGAGAGGGGGAGAGAGAGAGAGAGAGAGAGAGCAGAGAAGGAGCAAAGAGAGAGACACAGAAUCCGAAGCAGGCGCCAGGCUCUGAGCUGUCAUCAGCACAAAGCCUGACGAAGGGAUCGAACCCAUGAACAGUGAGAUCAUGACCUGAGCCAAACUUGGACACCCAACCAACUGAGUUACCCAGGGGCCCCUCUAUCUAGAUUUCUGGUAUGCCCUUUGAUUGAUUUAAAAGUUAUUUUGUGUCAUUCAGCAAGGUUUCAUGUUUUUUUUUUUAUUUUUAUGUAGAUCUAGCACAUUUCUUCUUAAGUGAUUAUUUUUAGGAAUUUUAUAUAUUUUAUGUAUUUUUUGUUUCUUUGUUUAAAUACCAUUUUUACUGUAAAUACUUUGUUUUGUGAUUGUUUCUGGUAUAUUUGAAUUUUGAUCUAAUUUUUGUAUUGUGCUAGCCCCUUGACCUCUCUUGUUACUACUAAUUACUAUUCUAGUUAGAUAGUGAUAUGACCUAUAAGUAAUGAUAAUUUUGCCUCUUUUUCCAACAAUUAUUAUUUUUUGUUUCAUAUCUUAUAGCACUAAGUAGAAAAACAAUAACAAUUUUAAAUUAUGGUUUUAAAUCUCUAAUUUAACAAAAUGCUUCCAAUGUUUACAUUAAGUACAAUGUUCAUGCUAAGAAAAUGUUUUUUAGAUUACCUAGAAAGUUUUUUUUCUAUAUGAGGAGGAAAUAUUAUUUUUAUCAAAUCACUUUUCAGCAUCUAUUGAAGUGAUUGUAUAAUGUUUUCUUUUGACUUAUAGAUGUAAAGACUUUAUUAAUGAUAAUAAGAGCUAAUGCUUAUGUAGCUACAUAAAUGAAGUUGGACCUCUGUCUUACACUAUACACAAAAAUCAACUCAGAAUAUAUUAAAGACUUAAUAUAAAAUAAAAAACUUUGACACUCUUAAAAGAAAAGUUUGCUGACAUUGGCCUUGACAAUGAUUUCAUGGACUUGACACCAAAAGCACAGGCAAUAAAAGGAAAAAUAAACAAGUGGGACUCUAUCAAACUAAAGAGCUUCUCCACAGCAAAGGGAACAAUCAACAGAAUGAAAAGGCAACCCAUGGAAUGUGAGAAAAUAUUUGCUAAACCAGAUAUCUGAUAAUGAGUUAAUAUCCAAAAUAUAUAAAUAACUCAUACAACUCAAUAGCAAGAAAACAAAUAACCCAAUUUAAAAAUGGACAAAAGACCUGGAUAGACUUUGCUGUAAAGAAGACAUACAAAUGGCUGACAAGUAUAUAAAAAGGUGCUCAACAUCAAUCAAUAAUCAUCAGGGAAAAGCAAAUCAAAACCACAAUGAGGUAUCACUUCACAUAUGUUGGGAUGCCUAUUAUAAAACACACACACACACACAAACACACACACACACAAGAUAACAAGUGUUGGUGAAGAUGUGGAGAAAUUGAAACCCUUGUACACUGUUGGCAGAAAUGUAAAAUUUAUGCAUAUUAUUAAGAAGGAUUAGGCAAAAGUUUUCAUAUUUCCUUUCUUUGUUCUUUGCAUAUCUCCAGAUAAUCUAGGUUACUCUAACUUCAUACAAAAAUUACAAAUAUUUUCAUAUUUGUAAGUACUUUGAAAUAAUUUAAAUAUUAUUUAUAUCCUUAAGAUUUUAAACUUUUGUAGAUAAAAAUUUGGAGCCCAUAAUCUUUUGAGACAAGUGAUAUUUGAAUUCCUUUACACAUUUUCUUGAAUUACUAUUAUUCUUUUCAAAUUUUCCAUUACAUUUAGUCUCAAUCUUGGCAAUUUAUAUUUUAAAAAGUGUGCCAUUCUUAUAGUUUAAAAUUUCUUUUCUCCGAUUUUUUCAUACUGUUCAUUUGAAAUUUUUGCUCUUUUCCACAUUUGAGAAGACUAAGGUUUGGAUUUUAUUAAUUUAUAUAUUUGUGUUAGAGCUUUAAACCCAUGACUUAAUAUUAUUUUGACUAAAAAUGUUCAAACUGAAGGCAGAAACACUAUCGAGUAAUACAUGGCUAAGAAAUGUACAGAAUUUCAAUUGUUCUAAAAAUUUGACAUUUUAUAAGUGAGACAAGAUGAGUAGCAUCUUUUGGGAAAUUACCUUUCCUGGAAAACAAAUUAUGCUUUAAAAUAAAGUCCUUUUUUUAGGGCUGGGAGGAGAAUACUAGAGAGAAAAGUAUGCAAGUUUAAUUGAAUAUGACAGAAAUCACUUUUCAAAUUGUUUUUAUAAAUUUGGUUUUCAUGGUGUUGGUGGUGUCCUUAUGUGACAACUCACAAAAAAGGCAAAUGGAGGUUUAAUCUGGAACAGCUAGAUAAAUUCACCAUGCUUGGCAGCAUAAGAAACUUACUUGGCUGUAUUUGUCUCAACAACUUUACACUUAACCAUGCUCUAGGCAAAUAAGAAACACAUAGAAUUGGAAGUUGCCAUUUUUAAUAUUUUUAGUUAAAUAAUCCUUCAAUGAAUUUUUCUACUGUGUAUUAAUGUAUGUAUCUGGAUUUAGAGAUAUGAGUAUGAAAGUAUGAAUCUAAACAAAUAUGUAUGAAUUUUAUAUUUGAAUUCUUAUCUAUACUAACACAUUAAUCUGAUGUAGGGAAUUGACCUAUUUCGUCAACACUGUGAUGGUAGACUAAAAAUAAAUUACUCUGAAAUCCUUACUACUUUGGUCUGGAGGAAUUGUUCUGGGUUGCAAAAUGCAUGACUAUGAAAGACACAAAGAUAAUAACCCAGAGCAAGUUAAGUUAAAAUAAACAACACUCAGACAGGGUGCCUGGGUGGCUCAGUUUGUUGAGCAUAUGAUUCUUGCUUUCAGCUCAGGUCAUGAUCUCAAAGUUCAUGGGAUCAAGCCCCAGCUCUGUGCUGACAGCAUGGAGGCUGCUUGGGAUUGUCUGUCUUCCUUACUCUUUGGCCCUCCCUGCGUGCGUGUGCACACACACUCUCUCUUUCUCUCAAAAUUAAAAAAAUAAAAAAAUAAAAAUAAUCACUCAGACAAUGUGUAAAAUAUACCUAAAUUGUAAUUAAUCAUUUUGUCUCUGGUUAUGAAUAAUUAAUUCCUUUUGGGAUGAUAGUAUGAACUAGCAUGUUGUCUUUAUUUUUAAUUUAGUCCUCAGUAUUUACUCUUUUAUAUUAACCAGUACAAAUUAAUAGAUACAAUUACAUUUGGGUAUUAUAAUUUCUAUGACAUAUUUCUUUAUAGGCAAUAUUAAUAUAUAUAACUAUGUGAUGAUAUUUUGGAAGGGAUUUUCAAUAUGAAUAAGCUGGCUUGGAAAAACUAUAAUCUUUUAUAAUCUAUUAUAUUUUACACGAUUGAAUUUUGCAUUUUCAGCCUAGUCAAUUGAAUUUUUUACAGGUAUAAUUUCAUUAAACAAGAAAUUGAUUAAAUUUAAGCUUUAUGGAAGGAAAAUUGGAAAUAAAUUGAAUGAUAUUAAUUCUAUCUGAAAAUAGUCCACUGUUCUGAAAUUAAUUUAUUUGGUGAUGUCAUUUCUGGGGAUAGAAACUGUCAUUGGUAAAUGUGGUCAUUAUUAUGGUAUUUCAUGUUGUGCUGAUUGGUGGUGACAUCUUUUCAUAAGUAAAUCACUAAUAAUAAAAUGCUUGGUCUGGCUUUCAAGUGCAGUCCUAAGAAUAUAAUACAGGGAAGCCAGUGUAUGGCAUAUUUAAUCCAUAUGAAUGAUUGCAUUUAUACCCAGAAAGCAAUUAUAGUCAUUUGGAAAGUUAGAGCAAUUACAAGCUAAAUAUGUGGGUAUUGUAUUCAGAUCUAAAAAAAGAAAUUCGAGGACAGAGGAAUGGCAGUAAAUUUGACCAAAGUCAUAUGUUAUCUCCUCUCUAAAGUCUACCAUGGCAUCCUCCCUGCUAGACCUUAUUCACAUUUUUAUUGCAUUGUCACUAUGUGUUUACCUGUAUUUGUCUUUUCUACUUGCUUGAUGAGCUUUUGAAAGGGAAAGAUCUUGCCUUAAUUAUAGUGGUACCAUAUGUCAUCAUCUAGAACAUUGAAUUGUUCCAGAACCCAGGCAAUGACAGAUAAUAAAUGUGGUUUUUAAAUGGUGUGCUUUAAACUGCAUCAUGGAAUGAAUUGGGAAUAAGGGUGAAAUAAUAUGAACACAAUUAUUAAAAAAGUAAAAUAGAUGAAGAGAAUUUCAAAUUCCAUUGAAGAAUGUAACAACUUUAGGAUUGUUUAAAACACAGGUCCCGUGAAAUAUCAGGUCCUUUGAGAUUUUGUCCUUCCUCUCAAAUUUAUAUCAAAAGACGACUGACACGUUGAAGAGCAAAUUUACUUGCAGUACAUUUUAUCAAGUGUAGGACACACACUCUCAGUAACUGCUGUGUGUACCCACUUGGAACCCCAGAGUUAGUGUGCAGAUUACUUUAAAUUUUUUUAACGUUUAUUCAUCUUUGAGACAGAGAGAGACAGAGCAUGAAUGGGCGAGGGCCAGAGAGAGAGGGAGACACAGAAUAUGAAACAGGCUCCAGGCUCUGAGCUGUCAGCACAGAGCCCGACGCGGGGCCGAACUCACGGACAGCGAGAUCAUGACCUGAGCCGAAGUCGGAUGCUUAUCCGGCUGAGCCACCCAGGUGCCCCUAGUGUGCAGAUUAUUUUAAACUGAAAACAUCUGAUAAUCAACAGAUGCAGAAAGAAGCUUUCUCAUUAUUUUCCUUAUCUGACUAAAAGCAGAAAUCUAUAGGAAACGAAGCUGCCAUAAAUUCCCUCUUUGGGGUGGGACUACUGCCAGGAGAGAGACCAAGAAUAAACCUAUCAUAAAUCCCCCUUUGGGGGGAGUUUCAUGGCCAUGAAGAAGUCAGAAAGACCACUUGCACCUGCAUAACAAUAUCACGAACUUUCUUAUCUCCCAUUUGUUGUCCUAAAAAUUAGUUUUUCUUUCCUAAAGAAACAUUAUUUGUUUUUCCCAUAGAAGCCUUUGUCCCCACCAUACAUUCCUCUAAGUUAGGUAAAGAGCCUCUAACUUUAACCAUUUAGCAAGCUAGCUACUUCUUUUGUUAGCUGCUAUAUGCAUAUGAAUUAACUAUCUUUCAUUGGUUUAAUUAGUAAGCCCCAAACACUAAACUUAAGAAGGUGGAGUAGAACAUCACUGGUAUGUAGGAUAUCUGAGUAUUCAGAUAUUCAUUUGGUGAUAGUGAGACAAUACACAGAGGAAACUGAAAUUGCCAUUGAGAUAUGAUAAAAUCUAAAUCACAUAAAUUUCUCAUUUACUAAAAUAUUUAAGUAAAACAACCCUAUGUGGGAGAGCCUGAUUUUGAUCAUAGUUUUGAGGACAUAGUUAACUGCAGCGUGAAUAUGAUUAAGAGUAAAUCCAUACCCCAACUGACACCUGAGAGGUUGCCUUUUAUUUGGGUUUCUUUUGUUUGUUUGCUUCCAGUAUUUUUUAAAAAAUCUUGUUAGUUAAAAUAUAGCAUAACAUUAGUUUCAGGAGAAUUUAGGGAUUCAUCACUUUACGUAUAACACCCAGUGCUCAUCACAACAGAUGCCAUCCUUAAUACCAAUCACCAUUUAACACAUCCCCCUGCCCACCUCCCAUCCCCAAACCCUCAGUUUCUUCUCUAUAUUAAGAGUCUGUUUUAUGGUUUGCCUCUCUCUAUUUUUUCCACAAUAUUCAUCUGUUUCAUAUCUUAAAUUUCAUGUUAGUGAAAUCAUCUGGUAUUUGUCUUUCUCUAACUUAUUUUGCUUAGCAUAAUACACUCUGGGUCCAAACCUAUCAUUGCAGGGGUGCCUGGGUGGCUCAGUCAGUUGAGCAUCUGACUUCUGCUCAGGAUAUGAUCUCACAGUUCAUGGUUUCAAGCCCACGUUGGGCUCUGUGCUGGCAGCUCAGAGCCUGGAGCCUGCUUUGGAUUCUGUCUCCCUUUCUCUCUGCCCCUCCCCUGCUUGUGCUCUGUCUCUCUGUCUCAAAAAUAACAUAAAAAUUAAUUUAAAAAACAAAAAGCUGUAAAAAAACACAUGUCAUUGCAAAUGGCAAGAUUUCAUUCUUUUUCAUGGCUGAGUAAUAUUCCAUCACACACACACACACACACACACACACACACACAUCACCUUUCUUUUUUAAUUUAUUUAUUUAAUGUUUAUUUGCUUUUGAAAGAGAGAGAGACAAGUGUGAGUGGCGGAGGGGCAGAGAGAGAGGGAGACACAGAGUCCGGAGCAGGCUCCAGGCUCUGAGCUGUCAGCACAGAGCCCGAAUUGGGCUUGAAUCCAUUAACUGUGAGAUCAUGACCUGAGCAAAGUCGGAUGCAUAACCGACUGAGCCACCCAGGUACCCCUAAAUUAAUUUAUUUUUAAAUUUAAAUCCAAGUUAGUUAACAUGUAGUGUAAUAAUGAUUUCAGGAAUAGAAUUUAGUGAUUCAUCAAUUACAUAUAACACCUAUUGUCAUCCCAACAAGUGCCCUCCUUAAUGCCCAUUUUCCAUUUAGCCCAUCCCUCUACCCAACACUCCACCAGCAACCCUCAGUUUGUUCUCUGUAUUUGAGAGUCUCUUAUGGUUUGUCUCCCUCUCUUUUUUUAUCUUAUUUUUGCUUCCCUUCCCCUAUGUUCAUCUGUUUUGUUUCUUAAAUCCACAUAUAAGUGAAAUUAUAUGAUAUUUGUCUUUCUCUGACUGACUUAUUUUGUUUAUCAUAAUACACUCUAGUUCCAUCUACAUUACAAAUGGCAGGAUUUCAGUCUUUCUGAUUUCUGAGUAAUAUUCCAUUGUAUAUAUAUACCACAUCUUCUUUAUGCAUUCCUCAGUCGAUAGACAUUUGGGCUUUCCAUACUUCGGCCAUUGUCCAUAGUGCUGCUAUAAACAAUGGGGGGUGUGUGCCCCUCCGAAUCAGCAUUUUUGUAUCCUUUGGAUAAAUACCUGGUAGUGCGAUUGCUGGGUCUUAGGGUAGUUCUAUUUUUAUUUUUUGAGGAAACUCCAUACUGUUUUCCAGAGUGGCUGUACCAGUUUGCAUUCCCACCAGCAGUGCAAAACGGUUCCUCUUUCUCCACACCCUCUCCAACAUCUAUUGUUGCCUGAGUUGUUCAUUUUAGCCAUUCUGACAGGUGUGAGGUGAUAUCCCAUUGUGGUUUUUAUUUGUAUUUCCCUGAUGAUGAGUGUUGUUCAGCAUCCUUUCAUGUGUCUGUUAGCUAUCUGGAUGUCUUCUUGGAAAAGGUGUCUAUUCAUGUCUUCUGCCCAUUUUUUCACUGGAUUAUUUUUUUUUUUGAGAAGUUAAACUUUCACUCUUCACAAUGACAUGAUACUCUAUGUGGAAAACCCAAGACUCUACCCAAAAACUGCUAGAACUGAUACAUGAAUUCAGCAAAGUUGCAGGAUAUAAAUCAUCUUACGGAAUAAUGAAGCAGCAGAAAGAGGAAUCAGGGAAUUGAUCCAAAUUACAAUUGCACCAAAGCCCAUAAAAUACCUAGGAAUAAACCUAACCAAAGAGGUGAAAGAUCUAUACACUGAAGACUAUAGAACACUUAUGAAAGAAAUUAAGGAAGACACAAAGAAAUGGAAAGACAUUCCAUGCUCAUGGACAUUGGAAGAGCAAAUAUUGUUAAAAUGUUCGUACUUCCCAAAGCAAUCUACAUAUUCAAUGCAAUUCAAUCAAAAUGACAGCAGCAUUCUUCACAGAGCUAGAACAAACAAGCCUUUCACUAGGUUUUAAGCCCAGUGUCAACUGACUUGAAUUUUGGGACAUCGUUGUAUAAGUCAGACCAUGUUAUUAAAGACAGUAGCUCCUAGAGUAAGAGAAAUAGGCACUUGGGGGGGAAUGUGAACAACUUAGAACCAAUUGUAUUUUGUUUAGUAAAUAUUGCUUUUAUUGUUCUAUUGCAUUUAAAAAUGAUCUUAUAUGUGGAAGUUUUUACUACUAAAUUGAAGUUCACUACUAAAUAGAAAGAUACUCAGUAAGUAGAAUAAUCCCUGGAUCUCUUUAUGAUCUUGCUAAAAGUAUUAUAACUGCUAUUGUCUUUUCUAAACUGAUUCUAAUAUUACAUAUUGGGACAUUGUUAGGUUUAAUUACUGUCCACAGAAUAAUUGAAGAUGAAGAAAUACUAAUUACAUGAAUAAACUUCAUAGUUUUUUAGUUACUAUUUAUUGUAUAACGUUUGAUAUAAUGUGUCAGAUGACACUAGUUCAAGUUUAAAAGUUGAACUGAGCUUAUUAUGAGAUUUAAUUCAUUUUUGUCAGUAAACAGAGAACUUUGGCCUUCCAGCAAAAUUUCAUCCAAGUAGCUUGCCAGAAGAAUGUAAUUUGAUAAGCAACUCUAAGCCACGAGAAGACAAGUUUAAAAAAGUAUAGCAUCGAUAUAAAUGUUCUUAGGCUGAUGAUACCCUGAGGCUAGGAAACCAUUUCUGCCAUCUUGAUUCCUUUCUCUUCUUUAUCUGGCAUUUUAUGACUCACUUAUAUUUAUUUGAAUUGGAUUUAGGUCCUCUAAUGGUUUCACAAAUCUGAAGUUACUAUUUAAAAAAGCCUCUUUUCGCUUAUCUCUAUGAAAGAUUGUACUCCAAGAACAAUUAGGUUGAGGAAAAUCUAUUUAAAGGUAUUCAGAAUUUUUAAAUCAGACAACAAAAACUUUACCUGAAGCCUUACUACCUUUUUUAUGUAAUCCUUUAAUCAACCCAGGAACAAUUAUAUAUUUAAUUCUGUGCAACAUUCUAGGGUACUUUAAUACUUUAAUUAGGAAUUUACACAUGGAAAAAUUACAGAAGUAAUUAAGGAUAUUCAGAUUAAUUAAAAGCGUUAAGAGGUAUUAAAUGUGAAAGAACAGAUUUUUAAUUAAAUCUUUCAGGUUUUUUUUUUUCUUUUCAAGAUAUUCCGUACUGAAAAAAAAGGUAGUAACAGUUUUAUUUGAAUCAGUUAUGCUAGAAAUAGCACAUUUUUAAGUGAGCUGGCUGUCAUCUUUUGUAUUCACUUAAAGUUUUUUAUUCCUCACUUACUAAAAAUGUUUUAGUGAGAUGAGCCUUCAUUGCUAUUAAUGAAUAGUUCACUAGCAAUGAAAGAAGUCAAAGGCCCAAAGGUUUAGCUUAAAAAUCUCCCAAGGAGAAUACCUGUAGGAAAUAUGGUACUGAAUAAAUUGACCAUAGAGUGUUCUUUUUGUAGGAAAAUUGGGGAAUCCCAUCUAUGCAGCAGUGCAAGGAAGAUAGGAGAGUGGAGUGCUAAGCUUUGGAAGUAGCUGCUACUUCAAUGCUAAUAGAAUAGCCAUAGUAGUAAGUCAAAGUAAGUUUAGAUGAAGGAGGGAAAAGUUCAUUCUCCUCUGAGCAAGAUGAGACUGAUGGAAAAGGAGGAUAUCUGUGGGCCUAUUGAAGUAAAUGACUCUUUAAGAUUACAGUCCACACAGGUUCCUCAACUGCAGGUGGAGGUAAUGAGAGGUGCAGGUGCAGGUGAGGGAGCUGUGAGCCAAAUUUAAAGUGCCAACAACCUUUUUCCUUCCAUAAGUAAACUGAAAUUUGGAGUAGGAUGCCUUUACAAACAUAAAAAAAACAAAAGUAAAAGCAAAAUCGUCUUCAUUUGGAGAAGGAAUCUAAAAGGCUUUGGAAGAUGAACAUGGCCCCAUGAAAAGAACUACUCUGUCCCAUCUGUUGCUCUUAGAAAAAAAGGUAAUUAUUAAAGUUAGUGACUCAUAACCAACUCUUCUCUCAUUGUGAUAUUUAACAAAUUUUAUUAAUAUGCUUAAAAUGCAUGAGAUUUAAUUGUUGCCUGAUAUUCCACCCUAGUAAUAUACCAUAAUUAACUUAGCCAUUUUACCAUUGUUGGAGAUUUAGGUUCUUUCACAUAUCACAGAUGAUGGAGUUUUGUUUACCCAUAUUUGUUCACAUCUCUGAUAAUUUCCUUAAGGUGGAUUUCUAAACCUUUAGUUGCUAGGCAAGGGCAGGGAAUAUUUUAAAAUUCAUGAGGGGUUUGCUAAUUUACAUUUGCACCAACAUAGCAUAAAAAUGCUCAUCACUUCGAACAAAAUACUGUAUGUCACACCUUUUAAUCAUUAUUAAUUUGAUAGGCAAAGAGUUAUUUCUGUUUGUAUUUAUUUGAUGAUUGAGAAGGUAACAGAAAGAAUAUAAAAUAUAAUAGGAUAAAGUGUAGAACAAGUUGCAUACUUUAUUUUAGCUCUAUUUAUUCAUCAUUGAUUUAUCAUGUAUGUAUUGAAUUUCUAUGGUACUUCUUUAGAUCUUGAAUCAUAAUAUGUAAAUCAUACUAACUUAGAGUCUUUAAGAAACUCAUAAUCUAUUUGUAGAAACAGGUAUGUAAACAAAUAACUAUAGCACAUUGGUAUACCUCCCAAAAAUAUGUAGAGAGUUCUUUGAGAACACAGAGAAAGAAAACAAUAACUGAGAACAGAUAAUGGAAAGAUUAGGCUGCAUAGAAAUAGUAGCACUCGAGUUUAGUCUUGGAAGCUGAGAUUGUUGAUGUACAACUGUAAGAAGGAAAGGAUGUUCCAGAAUAAAAAAGAGAAGGGAAAGGAUGUUCCAGAACAAAAAAAGAGAAUGUAUAAAUUCAGGAAGCAUGAAGGAAAUGGUGUAUUCAGAGAACUCCAAAGAGGUCAGUAUGAGUAGAAUAUGGAGUUCAUUUUGGUGAGUAAAGAUCAUGGAUUUUAAAAAGUGAGUUAUGAUCAGAUAAUGUCUCUUAAACUCUGACCCUCAACAUAACAUUUUAACUAGGGCAAGUGUUUUUGCUAUAUAUUUCCAUAGCAUCAUGAGCAUCUAUUCUUAUAACAGUUAACAUAGUUUUUAAUUUUCUUUUAAUGUUUAUUUAUUUUUGAGAGACAGAACAUGCACAGGGAAGGAGCAGAGAGAGAGGGAGACACAGAAUCUGAAGCAGGCUCCAGGCUCUGAGCUGUCAGUGCAGAGCCAGACAUGGGGCUCAAACUCACCAACCACAAGACCAUGACCUGAGCCGAAGUUGGAUGCUUAACUGACUGAGCCACCCAGGUGCCCCUAACAGUCACCAUAUUUUAAUUACGUUGUAGUUUCACUGUUUUUAGACUCUAACAUCCAUGAGGGCAAAGAGUCUGUCAGACUCACCAUCAAAUCUCCAGUUCAUAGCACAGUGCCUAUUGAAUAAAUGAAUGAAUGAAUGGAUGGACUUCAUAAUGUAGGCAUCAAGCAUUUAUUGAAGCAAGGACUUAUUAAAGCAAAUGAAAAACUACAUAUAAAAUUAAUUAUAAAUAAAUAUGUAAAUAUAUUCAUAUAAUAUUAUGGUGGGUUAAAGAGCAGCUGCCAAAAAGAUAUAUCUAAGUCCUAACCACACCUGUCAGGUACCCAAAAAUGUGACCUUAUUUAGAAAUAAGGUCUUUUUAGGUCAGGUUAAAUUAAGGAUCUCAAGAUGAGAUUAUACUAGAUUUAAGGUGGGUUUUAAUCCAAGGACAGGGGUCAUUAUGGAGAAAGGAGAGGGAAAUUUGAGACACAGGCACAUAAGGGAGAUAGCCAUUUGAAGAUGGAGGCUGAGAUUGGAGUUAUGCUGCCAAUAACCAAGGAAUGCUUGAAACCAUCAGAGGAUGGAAGAGGCAAGGAAAUAUUCUUCCCUAGAGCCUUCAGAGGGAGCAUGACCCUGCCAACACAUUGAUUUUAGUAUUCUGACCUCUAGAACUAUAGGGGAACAAACUGCUGUUUUAAGUCACCCAGUUUGUGGUAAUUUGUCACAGUAGCCCCAGAAAAUGAAUACAGAUAUAUAAUACAUAAUAUGAUAUGUAUUCAACUAUAUAUGUUUAAUAACUGGCAGAAAAGUGAAGAAUAGAAUAAAAAAGUAAAGGCUAAAGAUAGAAUAAAAUUAAGAAGGGUUUUUAAUUGUUAAUGUACCAGGUAGGAAAUGAUAGGAGACUGAAAAGUCUUUAGCAAGGGAAUAUGUCUUAUACAUUCAGAAGUUAAAACUUAUAUAUUGGAUUUGGUGUGGGGAGAGUAAGUAACUGAGAGAAGAUGAAGAUGAGUCCCAAAUUUCUCAUCCAAGAAAUUGGUUGACUGAUAAUUAACAGAAGUGAAAUGCAAGAAGAAUUAUGGAUUUGGUAAAUCUGCACCUCAAAAACAGAUAUUCUUUGUUAUGUGUGGCCAGGUAAAUAUCUUCUCCCUUAGUUUAGUGGCCAGAUAUUUAUGCAGAGAUUUCAUAAUAUCCUGGAACUAAUAAGUCUCCUGCUUUUUGCCUAGGGACUGUGUCUAGAUGUUGGAGAGCAUGUUUAAGAGUCAGCCAGGAAGUUGACAACUGUGCUUUAUCUCUCACUUCCUACUUGUACAGAAUCUCAGUGUCUGCCUGAGGUGAAGGCUUAGCACUUUCUCAGGUCUUUCUGGAGCAUUCACAUAACCAUGAUAUGCUCGCAGUCCUACAUGUAAGCACGGCCUUCUAGAGUUCCGGGAAUAUGUGUGAUCUUUACAAGGACUUGUACAGACAACUCAUUCCUCAGCUUUUCCUUUUAAGGUUUUUGAUUAGCCCGUUCUGUGUCCCAACUGUCAUCCACUGCUUCAGGCAGCCAUGAAUUUAAUCAAUUGCUUAUAAUUAUUUUUUACAAACUCCCCUUGGGAAAAGAUUGUUUACUCCUGGUGACCCCCAUGUCAGGUCAAAUAAGCAGUCUUACAGCUAGGGUGUUCCAGGGAAACACCAAACAGGUCAAAUAAAUAUGAAUUCUUUUGGAAUGAGGCUCUGAAGGAGCUCCAACUCCAUCUGCACCUUCUGAUGACUACAAGUCUGUGAGUUUUCCUGGUGACUGCAUGGUCAUUGUGAAUUGUUAGUUCUCAAAGCUAGUGAAAAUCUGGAGGUGGGUAUUAGAAUAGGGCAAGUUAAAAUGCCACAAAACUUGCUGCUUUUACUGAGAUUCAUCUUUUUUACUUAAGUAAACUCUGAAUUGCUGCAAGCUUUUGGGGAAUUUCCAGAUUUCUGAAAAAGUUGCUUCUGAUAAUUGCUGCCAGUUUUUCCAAUCCUUUUAGGGAAGAGAGAAUUUUAGAAGGUCCUUACUCUGCCAUUUUUGCUGGUGUUACUCUAUGCCAGUUCUCAUCUCACAUUGACAUUUGAUUAGACUUUUAUAUUAAUUGCAAUAGAUCCAAUUAUUAAUUUUAUUUUUAUUAUUGCAAGUAUACUUUGGUAAUAUGGUGCUAAGUAAUAUGGCCAGAUUUUCAAGGGCUAAGUCUCUUUAGUGGAAAAGGGUUUGGAGUAUAAAGAUCUCUUUAGUCUUCUUCAGCAGUGACCUUACCCCCAAUUCAGACCCUCAUUAUGUAUAUAUGUCAAAAUCAAUCUUUAAAAAUGCUUUUUAUUACAACCUCUGAAAGUUUCUUGAUUGUAUAUAGUAGCACUUGAGUGACAUUUUAUCUAUUGUUCUUAUUAAGUAUAUCAAAGAAGUCCUCACAGUGGUUUUUCUUUUGAACAAAAAAAUCUAAUCUUUCUCAUUCCCUCUAAAUGAAUUCCAUCACUGGAUAAAAGAAUUACUAAGAUUGCUAGCUGGGCAAAAUCAUAGAGUUACUAUAAUAAGAAAUAAUAAAAUAGAAAAAUGCCUCAUAUCAACAUCAUAGAAAAAGACAAGUUAGAAUUACUCAUUUUUUAACAUAGCUGUAUCUUCUGUAUUAAGCAUUACAGUUCUACAGCGAAUAAUAGAUUUUCCUAUGUGUUUUCAUCUCUUCAGAAAAAAGAAAUAAAUAGGUUAGUCAAUAUCAUGUGGCUAAAAUUAAGGCAAACAAUUGACUUUUAAUUAUUUGUAUGUGGAUAAUCCAUACAAGGCUUUUCUCACUUGUAUUUUUCUAUAUCUCUCAUUGUUCUCUUCACUUACUAAUACUAAGGAGAAAAACUCUGGAUGGAAUGUCUGAAUAUGAUAUUCAAACAUCCUAAUUGAUUUAGGAUUAACUGUUACUCUAUAAUACUAUGCUAUUUACCUCUCAUUGGAAUAUGUACAUUAUGUAAAGACAAAAACUUGUUUCAAGAAUAGCAUUUUAUUGUUACAUUUAUAUAUUUAUACUUAACAUCACUCAGUUUUAAAAUCACAGAUAUUUUCCCAUGAAAAGGACUGUGGAGAUGAACUUCAUAUAUCUCUCAUCCUGUCUCCAUCAGUCAAUGCUUCAGUCUUCAACAUUUUCUCUGGUCUUUCCAUCUACCUGGUUGCUUUAAUAUAAACCUGACUCUCCCCAGAAAAUACCACUUCUCUCACGUCUCAAUUAAGUGUGAAAUGUUUGUACUAACACGUCUUACAUAUUUUGGGGUUAGGAGUUAGUGUUCUGCUUCUACCACUUUGAAAUAAGUAUUACCCUCUUAUUUUACUUUCUUGUUAAUUAUCCUACCUUCUUAUUGAAACAAAUAAAAGUCACACAAAACCAUUUCAUUGAGGAUGCAUCCUUCUCAAAGAUCUGGAUUUUUGCUGGGGUUUCCAGUUCAGCAGUGCCUCACUUUGUAUAAGUCUUAAAUCUAAUUUCUGAUUUUUGUUGGGAUUGGCCAUUUAUCCUUGAAGCUUUCUUUUCUUGGUAUGGGCAGCCCAUAUUUCACUUACCGCAUCUGUUUCAACUCCUUAUUUAAUUUUUGUGACCCUUGGGCAUUUCUCUUUCUUAAAAGAUCAGCAAUGUACUUAAAAGUACAUUUUUAAUAUUUUAAGCAACAUCUAUGUGUUUUGCACUGGAAUUUUGUUGUUGUUGUUCAGAAUAUCUAGUUCACUGUUCUGUGGCAUAAAUAAGAAAUUUUAUUUGUAUUUUUUAAUUUAAUGCCCUCAUGUACUGUUUGGAUUUUUUUCUUGUGCCCAUGUUUAUUUUAUAAUACAUAUAUACAUGCAUGAACACAUGUAUACAUUAUUACAUAAAUUAAAAUUAACCCAAUUUAUUCCACAAAGAUUUAAUGAUUCUGAUACUGAAAUCUUGAUUUAAUGCUAUGCCUGUUGCAAAUGAAAGUAUGUAUGUUCACACACACGCACAUAUCUUAAGAGAAACUCAGAUUAUUUAUUGGUGAAAUACUAGGUACAUGCCCCUUAAAUCAGGAACAAAGAUGUUUGCUAUUAUACUUAUUUAUAAUGUUUCAAGACUUAUACAGAUGAUGUAAAUGUUAUAUCAGAAUUUUAAGUUUAGCUUUCAAAAUAAACCUUGAUUCAAUUGAUUUAAUUCAUCUUUGCUAUUUGUUUAACAUUGUCAUUGUUAUGCUUUGAUGCUCCCAACAUCUCAGACCUGUUAUAUAUUUCUCUGUCUUAGCAAUUAACUCUAAUAUGCAUCAUAUGGUCAUUUUGUACUCUUUGUUGGCAUGAUGGAGGAAAGCCUCAGUGGCCUGACAUUGAGGGUCAUUAUCUAGAAAUUGAUGCUUGAAUGACUCAAUGACAUUAUACAAAAAUAUUUCCACAUCAAGUAAGACAUAGAGGAUGAUUUGUUAAUUUGAUUUUACCUCAAGAAUGAUGCUUUUCAGUAUAUAUGCUAUUUGAUUUUUAAUUUAUAAACUUAAAAAUUCUAAGUUUGUUUCUAUGGUGAGAACUAUCAUGUUGGCACUGUUGUUGGGAAAUGCAUAUUGCAAAGUGAUGUGUUAUUUUAUUAAAAUAUAUGCUAUUAAAAUUUUUUAUUAAAAUUCUUGCUAGCUUAUUUCAUGUUCCUGGUGACCAGACAUACCACUUCUUUAUAACCCAUGUUCUAGAUCCAUUCUUUGCUCUGGAUAUUGUAGUUUUUCUAUACCUUAUGUGAAAUUUUAGUUGUACAUUUUUAAAGGAUAUGAAGAACUGGUGAUUUUUCCAGAGAAUAAUAGAAAUAAUUGGUGUAAUAGGUGAUAUAUUAUUUUAGGAAUGUUAAAGAAAUUAAGGUUGUUUAGCUUACACAAUGAAGGAUUAAGAACUGGUUAGAUUGUAAUUCCCGAUAUCAUAAAAAGCUUCUAAGAAAGGAAUAUUGAAAAAUAAUGUGCAUGUGUUAUCAAACAAGGAGAGAUUCACUUAAGUGGAAGUAGGAAAUGUGAUUUUUAGAUAAACAGAGAAGAUUGAUGAAAUACUGAAAGGCAUUAUAUGCUUCUUGAGAUCUUUAAAACAGUAGACAAUCAUCCAUCCUGAAUGGUUUAGCCUAAAGGAAGUGGGAUUAGUCAGAUAAUGCCAUAGUUUAUAUCUCUCAUUUUAUGAAUUCCUACAUGACUGGUCUCAUCCAUAGGUAAUAGUAGCAGUUGGAAAAGGCCCCUUUUGGCAUCCACUAAUAUUUGUUAGCUUGGGAUGAGAUGUUUUCACCCUCUCUAAGCCCAAGUAAUUUUAAUUCACUAAGAAUGAAGGAACAUAUCUUCUUCAUGGGAAGAAGUGUAAUUUCAUCCUCCUUUUUUUCCCUUUGGGUCUUAUUUCUAACAGUUUCAAUAUUAAACAAGAUUAGCAAUGAAACAACUCUCUGAUCUUUGUUGAACAUUUCACCUACAUUGAUAUCACCAAUGAUGAAUACAUGAAAAAAAUCUAUACCACAAGCUUAUAGAAUUCUGCUAUGUCCAGAAUAUGCCCCAGCUAUUGGAUGAUAAAAACCAUUGUUCACUAAUACACAUAAUAGGAUGCAGACUAAAAUGUCUAUAUGCCAAAUUGGUUAUGUUUCAAAAGUAUAUUCCAUGCAAUGCAAUAUUCUUGCCCCUGCCACUACCUCACAUCCACUUAGUGCCAUAUCUGUGAAAAGCUUUAUGUUAAAACAUUUCCAUACUGAGACAAGCUAACCUAACACUAUGGGCAAAGACUGGUUACAGUACACAUUUUUAUUAUGCCAUAAAAUGUUGCUCAUAGAGCAUGACAACUUCUCUGACAAACUAUAGUAUUAUUUUUGGUUUGUUGUUGUUGCUAUUUUUUUGUUUUGUUUUUGUUUCUGGCAUUUUGUUUUUAAAUAUUUUUGAUAUUCCUGACCAGUAGCAAUUCAUAUUGUCUGUAACUUGAGUUUUUAAUGCACAUAUCUCAAUAUAGUGUUUAAAAUACCAUUCCUGGGACAUUUGGGUAGCUCAGUCGGUUAAGCAUAGGACUCUGGAUUUUGGCUUAGGUCAUGAUCUCAUGGUUUGUGAGAUUGAGCCCCAUGUUGGGUUCUGCACUGACAGUGUGGAUCCUGCUUGGUAUUCUGUCUUCCUCUCUGCCCCUUCCCUGCUCUAAGUAAAUAAAUAUUUAAGAAAUAAUAAAAUAAAGUAAAAUGAAAUGAAAUGAAAUGAAAUGAAAUAAUAAAAUAAAAUAAAAUAAAAUGAAAUACCGUUCUUAAAAGGUGCACUGACAUAUUAAGGCAUGCCAACCUAGAUUUUCUACAGAAGGUGAAAUUAAUAUGUUUUAACUGUGCAAAACAAGGAAAGGAUGAUAUUGAUGAUUUUGAUUGAGUAAAAUAUUGAGCUGGUAAAAUUUAAAGGAUCUGUGAUUGGACUAGAUGGGAAAGUGGUAUUUAAUAAAAAUAUUUUUAACUUUGCCAUCCCCAAAUCUUCCCGGAAUGCACUGGGUCUGGCAUAUUAAAGUCAAUAUGAUAAUUUGAUAAAUGUGAAGGACUAAAGGUCCUAUAUCAAUGUACUAAGAAUAACAAGCUUUGACGUUAUAGGUGUUUCUCUCCUUAUGAACAAACAUUCCAAAAUAAGAGUUUAUAAAAUAUAUAAGCUGUGGAGUAAAUACAUAAAGAUUUGCUGUAAAGCUCCUUUCAGUAGUGAAAUGAAGUUAUAUAAGGCAUUGCUUAGAGAUAUGCUUAUGGGAAGCAGUUAACAUUAAUAGUUUAUUAAAGAUUCUUCUGAUAUGAAAAUGAGUUGCCAACAAAAUUCUAAAGUAGGUCAAUAGAAAAUUGGAUUUCUUUUUUUUUUUUUUCAAAAAAGCAGGUGUUUCAGAACGUAUAUGUGGUGUGUAGAAGGUUGUAUUUUAUUCAACAGCUACAUAUAUCGAGAAUUUAGAAUCAUGUGAAAUGGUGUUGUAGGAACUUCAUUACCUUGCUACUAAUCAUAGGAGGCAGGAAAUAAGCCUUUUCAGAAUGACAUAACAAGUGGGGGAAGCAAUAAGGUAAGAAUGAGUAAGAGGAGCAACUAAGGAUCAGAAGUUUUUGCUCUUUUCAAAUUGUGCCUGGUGAAAUAUUAACAGAUGGAACGUUGAUAAUUGAAACUUCGAUAUCCCACUUCCUGUCUCUGUUUCCUACAUCUUUUUCUCACUGUAGCAAGGAUAAUCUUUUCAAACAUUGCUUUUAUCAGAUUACACUUGCGUAAACAUCUACAGAUGAACUUCACACUAAAUUCCUCAGAUUUGACUUAAAUUUCCCCUCUAUAUCAUAUCUAUUACUUCAAUUUAUUUUGAUACCACAUACAAGGAAGAUAAAUAUAUUGUACCCUCCCACAUAAAUCUCCCUAUUACAUCACUAUGUUAUUAUCUGCCCUCACUGCAUUUGUUGUGAACAUUUGUCAUUACUUUUGGGUACUUACCUGAAUUCCCAGGUCGAUGAAUUUCUUGCCUUAUGAAUUUUGGCAGGAGAGAGAGCACACCUCCCAUUAUAGAAACUGAGAAAGUUUGCCUCCUCCUCCAACCGACCUUUUAGCUAGGGGAUAUGCAUAUGAUAGGUUUGUCACCCACCAUAGUUUUGAAUUUGAUGUUAUUCCCACUGUUUGUGUCAUUCAUCAAUAGAGUGCAUUCACCAUUAUACCCUAGCUCAUUUUUUCCUGCUCAUUACCCAAGCCUGUUUUUUAAAUUUUUGUUGUGAUUUCAUGAGAUAUCAAAUAGAUUCAAUAAAAUAUGUUUUUCCUAAAUUAUCCUAAAACAGUUUUGGUUGCCUGCAAUUAAAAACCUUAACUAAAUCGUUUUGUGUACUUGGUCUUGUGGGUUUGUAUUUUUUUGUUUUUGAGGUUUCAGUUUAAACCUUUAUUAAGAUACGUUGGAUAGCUUUCCCCUUUCAAAGUGUGUACUUUUUUUUUUUUUAACAAAGGAAAAUAUCUACAGUCCAGAAAGGUAAUGUCCUAAUUGCAGGGAUUCAGGCAUUUAUAUGUAAGUUUGUGGAGGAGUUAAUUUGAAGCAGAGGGACAUCCCCACAUUACUUUCAAAUCACAAUUAAGAAGUGACUUACUUCCUACACAGCCCCUUUCAGACACAGCAGAUGUCAUGGCAUCCACAAUGUUUCACAAUUCUUGGGAUUGAUUGUACAGACUUUCCCUUCAACGUGUAUCUCUUAUUUUUUAAUUAUAAGUGGAUUAUGUCCUGAAAAGAAGUUUAAAACCAGAUGAAGCUUACCUUUUCAAUCAAUGUAUUUGAGGAUAUUUUCCUUAUUACAUUUUCUUAUGAACAAUUUUCCUUAUUACAUUUUCUUAUGAAUAUUCUAAGAUUGCGAUCAUGCUAUACAUUCAAUUUUGCAUAUUGUUCUUUCUUUACUUAGCACUAUGUACAAAAGAUUUUUCAUCAAAAGUUACAAGUAGAAAGACAGAACCAAAAUUAGUAAUAAGCCACUCUGUUUUUGUUCACUACAACCACUCUUGAAUGGAACACUAAGGUUUUAUUUGCUCUGUAAGAGAGCAAACUAACUCUGUAAUAGUUAUCUAAGAAGAGCAAAUAGCAAACUGGGUUGGAAUAAUGUUUCAUACUGAUUAUGAUUUGGGGUGAUGGUGGGGAGGUCCGGAGCUGAUGGCCAAGAAAGAAUUCUUGAAGACAUCUUUGGUGCAAAACGGUAAUUUUAUUAAAGCAUGGGGACAGGACCCAGGGGCAGGAAGAGCUGCAUUGGAGUUGUGACAGGUAACUCAUUAUAUACCCUUAGGUUGGGAGGGAGUCAGGGAUAGAGUAAGUCUCUAAGGUAUUUUGGAAACAAGGUUUCCAGGACCUUGAGGGGCUAGCUGUUGCUAGGGAAACACCACUUAUUAUCAUUUAAUAAAACCACAGUCAUGAGACCCUUCAGAUGUAUAUGGUGGGGGGCAUAAGCUUGGAGUAUGAUUGCCGGCAUGUAUUUUGGGACAGGUGAGAUAAAGGAAGUAGACUUACAGGAUCCUCGAGGUUGGAUAAUGUUAAGCCAAGAUUCCCUUUUGCCCCUAGUAAUGUGUCAUCAUGGAGGCAGCUGAGCUCCUAGAGGGAAGUCACUCUGUGGGUUUCAAGGACUUGUCAAUGGGCUGUAGGCAGUAAAGGAACUUAAUUUUUCAUUUGCCUUACUUUCCCACAUCACCAUGGCAAGCACUUAAACCCCUUUCUUUUGUGAUUGGGUAGCCAUGAGUGUCCAAGGAAUAUCAUACAUAUUCCACCUGGGGUGGGUGUGUGUGUCAGCCUAUAUUUUGCCCUCAGCUUGCUCCACACUCCUUCAUCAAUACAAUCAGUGAAACAAGAGAAGUCCAAAGAGAAGCAUGACUGACUGUCUUUUGUUCCAGGGACUCUUGGACAAUCCUACAAAAUCAAGGCCUUUCUUGGCUGUUUUCCACAAGACAGUGAAUUCUUCAUCUGGGAGCAUAAGGAUUUGAAAAUAUACCAGGCUGGAAUAGUAUAGCAAGGUUUAGGCCUUUUCAUACCUAAGACAUAACUUAUUUAUGUUAUAAACAAGAACUGGAAGAGAUCAUGGGGUAUUUUGUAGUCUUUAUGGUUUAUAUUAUACUGUCAGGAAGGAAGGAUCUCCUUUGCGCUUCAAGGUCCUAGCUGUACUAAGAAUCAAAUUGAUGUCAGACAGAUUAACAGGAAAAAAAAUCAAAUCUAGUUCCAAAGAAAUUCCAAAGACAAUCAGGCAAAAUGAGGGGUAUAUGUCAUCCUGAACUAAGGAGAAAGGGGUAGGGGUCUGGGACUUCAAAGGGAAGGAAUACAAUUCACAGGAAGAUGAAAAAGAGUAAAUGUAUGGUAAACAAAUGUUUGCUGGGCAAUUCAAAAACAAUGAAACAUAGAGGACUUUGACAAACAUGCCUUGCUAGGUUCCUUCCUCUUUACCAUACCUAGUUCAUAUUAUAAUGUAGUUAUCUAUGAUGAUAGCUCUCUUCAUGGAGCAGGCCCUCCAUCCAAAUCCUUUUUAGGCAUUUGAGGGGGAGGGAAAGAGCUUUUCUUCAAUCUUCUAGAUUUUGAUUUCUUUUAACUUAAAAUAAUCUGCAUGUCAAAGUGACUCAUCUUGGGAAGGUCUGCCCUUGGCCCCUAAAAUACCAUGAGAACUUUUACAUACAUGUUAAUUUGUAAACAUCUCUGUAAUUGUAGGAAACCAAUGUAUCAAUGCCCUAAUUAAGGCAAUGUAUCAAUGCCCUAAUUAAGGAAAAAAUAUAAUUGUCUCCACUGACGUCAAUUUAGGCUCUAAAAAAAGGGAGGUAGGUUUUAUAGAGGGAGAGGAGCAGAGACCAGGCCAUGUCCAUAAUGACAGAGCAUGGACAAACUUUUAGGCUAAGACAGAAGACUGUUUUCAUUCUCUAUUUAGAUAUCUGAAACCGUUAAACAUAUAGUAGAGAAAACUCAUCAUUAAAGGGCUGAGAAAUCAUAUCUAAUUCUUGCUAAAUAUUAUCCUAAAUAGAAAAUAAAAGAGCUUUGUGUAAAUCUCUUCUGACCAAUGUCUAUCUCUGAAAUUCUCAUUCACUGCUUUAUAAAAUUAUCUGUUUAUUAGGGCCAGCUGUAGAGGGAGGGAAAAAAAGCCUUUUCUGCUAACGUUUUGGUCAAAAUUUCUUCUAAAACACCUUAAACAUUUACCUCAAAAGGCUUGGGAUAUUUUUUCUUUUCUUUAUUAACUUUGUUGAGGAAUAACUGACAAAUAUAAUUGUAUACAUUUAAAGUAUACAAUGUGAUGAUUUGGUAUAUGUAUGCAUUGUAAAAUGAUUACCAACAUCAAGAUAAUUAAUGUCCAUCACCUCACAUGGUUAACUUUGUGUGUGUGUGUGUGUGUGUGUGUGUGUGUGCGUGGCGAAAAUGUUGAGGAUUUACUCUCAGCAAGUUUCAUACUGUGUCAUUCACUAUAGCCACCAUGCUCUACAGUAGAUCCUCAGAACAUAUUCUUCAUAUAACUGAAAAUCUGUAGCCUUUCUAAAUAUCCUUAAUUUCUGUUUAAAAAUCUACUAUAGAUGUAUCACUCUCAUAAUUAUGCUUCUUUCAACUAUUUAGAAUAUUCCCUUUAUUUAAAUAGUAAUUCCGCUUUAUUUGGAAUAGUAAUUCCACUUUUUUAAAUGUGUUAAAUGGUGAAGUAACAUUUAGUGAACUCCCAUUAAACAUCUGGGACUAGAAAUAAUACUAUCUCAUUUAAUUCCCCAAACCAGUUAUAAUUCUCUUUAUUCUAUAAAUGAAGAGAUUGAGAUUCAGGGAAGUAACUUGCCCCGAGUCAUACAGCAGAUAAGUGUUGGAGCUGGGAUUUUCACUCAAACCUGUCUUACUCUGACAUCUAUGUUCUUUUAUUAAACCAUGCAAUCUCCUGCGGAAAAUAGUUUUAUUUUUAUCAUGGUCCUAUUAAAAGACCUGUUUUAUAAUUUUAAAUAUUGUCUCUCGCUCUAUAAAGCAAGAACCUAGACAGUAACACUUUAGUGGAAAGUCCUUGUUUAAGGUUGUUCUAUGGCAAUGUCUCUCUCCUGUGAUGAUUUAAGUUUCCCCCUCCCCCGCCCCAAUUCUGUGUCUUCCUUUUGAUCCAGUGAUUAUAACUGGAUGCAGUAUUCCAGGUACAGAUGUUCUCUAGUUUUGCAACACAGGAUAUGUGUUGGUCUCCUCUGUAUAUGAAAUAGUCAACAAUAACUUUCAAAUCCUCAUUCUGGAGUUUGAUGGAUAUUUCAGAGCCAGUCAUUCAAAUGUGGUUUAGAUUAAUUUUUCCUAAAUGCAUAUGAACCAUUUAGAGUGUAAAGGAAGUUGAGCAAUUUUAUAAAACCUGCACCAUAGUAUUCAUCUGCCAAGUGGCUUAGUCAUGUUAAAUAGAUACUUUUGUACUAAACUGAACUGUGAUUUUUAACUUAGUUGUUAAGACAGUACACGUAAACACAUUUAUAAAAGCAAACAAAAAGACGAUGUUUACAGUAUCACAACAUUUCAUCAAUUCAUAUAUUUAUACAGUAAGCAUUCUUAAUUCUACAGAAAUACUUUUUGUGAGCCAAACAAAUCUGGAGUCACAUAGCAUUAGAAGAGCACAAUUCUGUUCCUGUUUGUGAGAAAAUAUUAAAGUAGAACACUGAGUUUGCUGGUCAGUGACAACGUUAAGGUCUUCCCUUGAAAAUUUUCCCUCUUUUUUUUGAUGCAAGAUCCAGUUAUCAUUUACUCUUUAGUGUAGCAAAAAACUAGAUUCAACUAAAGAGUUAGAGGGGGAAAUUGAUGUCUAGGUAGAUAUUUAAUCAGCUGAAUCAAAUCCUUUGCACAGCUAUAUCUGCAUUAGAUGAUAAUAAAACAGCCUCCAAAUGUUAUUAAAAUCAGAAAGCUAAAGUUUUUAAGGUGAACAUAUUUCUUGCUUUUAGAAUGCUUCACUGGUAUAUGGAUAUGUAUUCUUUUUCUUUUUCUUUUUUUAAUGUUCAGCCAUUUAGUUUGAGAGAGAGAGAGAAAGCAGGAGCCAAGGAGGGACAGAGAGAGGGAGAUCAAUACCUGAGCUGAAGUCUGAAGCUUAACUGACUAAGCCACCCAGGCACCCCUGUAUUCUAUUCUUAUAUAUUAAUAAUUAAUCUAGAUUUUUAUUUAUUUUAUUUUUUUUAACGUUUAUUUAUUUUUGAAACAGAAAGAGACAGAGCAUGAACUGGGGAGGGUCAGAGAGAGAGGGAGACACAGAAUCUGAAACAGGCUCCAGGCUCUGAGCGGUCGGCACAGAGCCCGACCAGGGCUCGAACUCACGGACCGCGAGACCAUGACCUAGGCCGAAGUCGGACGCUUAACUGACUGAGCCACCCAGGCACCCCUAAUUAAUCUAGAUUUUUAAGAUGGAUUUAAAAAAUUAUAGACUUUUUCUUAUCUCACUUUUUAAGAUAUCCUAAGGGUCUAACCCAAAAUAUGAGCACAAGGGAUCUACACAGUUAUAGGACUGCAUUCAAUUAAAAUAUUAGGAAAAGUACUGAUUUUCACAAUGACAGCUUGUAUUAUUUAGAAUUUUAUAGCUUACAAAACAGUUUCACAAACUGUUAAAUCAUUUGAUCUUUAAAAAACUGGCUUAUGAAUUAAGUGGGGGUAGGGAUAUCUUCUAUUUUCUGAUUGAGAAAACAGAUUCGUCAUACUCAAAUUAUCCAAAGGUACAAACCCCAUAGAAACAAGCCCUAAAAAUGAAGAAUCUUCUAAUUCUUAGUUCUCCAACACACAUUAUUACUUGACUUACAUAUAUAGUUUCCAUGAUAACGUAUUCUUUUUCUUUUUCAGUUCUGGUGGUAAUGUUAUUUUAUUUUGGCAACACAAAAACAGGCAUAAAAUACGUAUAGGUUUGAUUGCUCAGUGCUGUAUUAACUUCAACCAGUUUGUACCCAAAUAUACUUUCUACUAUCUCUAGAAGAACAAAUGCAGCUUUUUAUAUGUUGAAGUCAUUCCUUGUAAACAUCCUUCCCAUGUUUUUUUUAUUAUAUAAGGAUAGCCAAAACAUGGCAGAUAACAUAUUAUAUAACAUAAAAUAUAAACAAUAUAUAAAAUAUGUUAGACAUAUAUGAGUUUUUCUCCUGUUAGUGACAGCCUUAAUAAUAGAACCAACAGGGGCGCCUGGGUGGCUCAGUCGGUUGAGCGUCCGACUUCAGCUCAGGUCACGAUCUCACGGUCUGUGAGUUCAGGCCCCGCGUCAGGCUCUGGGCUGAUGGCUCAGAGCCUGGAGCCUGUUUCCGAUUCUGUGUCUCUCUCUCUGACCCUCCCCUGUUCAUGCUCUGUCUCUCUCUGUCUCAAAAAUAAAUAAAUGUUAAAAAAAAUUAAAAAAAAGAAUAAUAGAACCAACAAAAUUAAGUUCCUGUACUUAUGUUUUGUUUAAUUGCUCAUUUAUCUCUUAUACUUUGUCAUGAGUCUUCCCAAUUAGUCUGUGAGGCAUCAGUGGUAUUUAUUCUUCUCCUUCCAUUUUUGCCACUAUCAAAAUUGCCCAAACCCAUAUCAACUUAUGCCUGGAUAUCUGCAAUAAACCAGCUAGCUGAGGUCCCAGAAUUCAAGUUAAAUGGCCAUAUCCACCAACCAUCCUCCACCCCAAUGUUUUUUUGCAUAUCACUGACAAAUAAAGAUAAUGGUCUUCCCCAAUACUGCAGUUACAUCUAAUUUUUGAAAUUGUUUCCAAGUUUACUUAUUUUUUUUUAAAUUUCAAGUGAUUUAUUCCUUAAACAUUUACCAACUAUUUUAAAAGUUAUGUACCAAAUAUUUUUAUUUUUUCAUUGUAUUUGAUUUUAUUUAAAUUCAAGUCAGUUAACAUACAGGGCAGUACUGGUUUCAGGAGUAGAACCCAGUGACUCAUCACUUAUAUAUAACACCCACUGCUAAUCCCAACAGGUGCCCUCUUCAAUGCCCAUCACCCAUUUAUCCCACCCACUGCCCACCUCCCCUCCAACAACCCUCGGUUUGUUCUCUGUAUUUAAGGGUCUCUUCUGGUUUGCCUCCCUCUCUGCUUUUAUCUUGUUUUUUUUUUCUUCCCUUCCCUUGUGUUCAUCUGUUUUAUUUCUUAAAUUCCACAUAUGAGUAAAAUCACAUGAUAUUUAUGUCUUACUCUGAAUGACUUAUUUCGCUUACAUUAUGUGCUCUAGUUCCAUCCACAUUGUUGCCAAUUCCAAGAUUUCAUUCUUUUUUAUUUGAUUCUUUUUGAUACGGAUUUGGGCAAGAUUUCAUUCUUUUUUGAUAUUCAAUUGUAUACCACAUCUUCUUUAUCCAUUCCUCAGUUGAUGGACAUUGGGCUCUUUCCAUAAUUUGGUCAUUGUUGAUAGUGCUGCUAUAACAUUGGGAUGCAAGUGCCCCUUUGAAUCAGCAUUUUUGUAUCCUUUGGGUAAAUACCUAGUAGUGCAAUUGCUGGGGCCUAGGGUAGUUCUAACUUUAAGUUUUUGAGGAACUUCCAUACUGUUCUCCACAGUGACUGCACCAGUCUGCAUUCCCAUCAACAGUGCAAAAGUGUUCCCCUUUUUUUGUAUCUUCACCAACAUCUGUUGUUUCCUGAGUUGUUCAUUUUAGCCAUUCUGACAGGAGUGAGGUGGUAUCUCACUGUGGUUUUAAUUUAUAUUUGUCUGAUGAUGAGUGACAUUGAGCAUCUUUUCAUGUGUCAUUAGCCAUCAGGAUGUCCUCAUUGGAAAAGUGUCUAGUUCAUGUUUUCUGUCAAUUUCUUCACUGGAUUAUUUGUUUUUUUGGGUAUUGAGUUUGAUAAGUUCUUUAUAGAUUUUGGAUAUGUAAUUUGCAAAUAUCUUCUCACAUGCCAUCAGUUGCUUUUUAGUUUUGUUGAUUGUUUAUUUUGAUGAGGUCUCAAAAGUUUAGUUUUGCUUUUGCUUGACUCUGGAGUCAUGUCUAGUAGGAAGUUGCUGUGACCUAGGUCAAAGAAGUUGCUGUGUGUUUUCUCCUUUAGGAUUUUGAUGGUUUCCUAUCUUACAUUUAGGUCUUUCACUGAUUUUGAAUUUAGUUUUGUGUGUGGUGUAAGAAACUGAUCCAGGUUCAUUCUUCUGCAUGUCACUGUCCAGUUUUCCCAACACCAUUUGCUGAAGGGAGUGUCUUUUUUUUUCCAUUGGAUAUUAUUUCUUGUUUUGUUGAAGAUUGUUUGGUCAUACAUUUGCAGGUCCAUUUCUAGGUUUUCUAUUCUGUUCCAUUAAUCUAUGUUGUUUGUUUUUGUGUCAGUACCAUACUGUCUUGAUGAUUACAACUUUGUAAUAUAGCUUGAAGUCUGGAAUUGUGAUGCCUCUAGCUUUGGUUUUCUUUUUCAACAUUGCUUUGGCUAUUCAGGGUCUUUUCUGGCUCCAAAGAAUUUUUAUAAUUUUUGUUAUAGCUUUGAGAAGAAUGCUGGUGUUAUUUUGAUAGGGGUUGCUUUGAAUAUAUAGAUUUCUUUGGGUAGUAUCCAUAUUUAACAAUAUUUGUUCUUCCAAUCCAUGAGGAUGGAAUGUUUUCCCAUUUCUUUUUGUCUUCCUUAAUUUCUUUCAAAAGCUUUCUAUACUUUUCAGCAUAGACAUCUUUUACCUCUUUGGCUAGGUUUAUUCCUAGGUAUCUUGUGGUUUUUGGUGUAAUUAUAAAUGGUAUUGAUUCCUUGAUUUCUCUUUAUGCUGCUUCAUUAUUGGUGUAUAGAAAUAUGAGUGAUUUCUGUACAUUGAUUUUAUAUCCUGCAACUUUGCUGAAUUCAUGUAUCAGUUCUAGCAGUUUUUUGGUGGGGUCUUUUGGGAUUUCCAGGUAGAGUUUCAUGUUAAUUGUGAAGAGUGAAAGUUUGACUUCUUCUUUGCCAAUUUGUAUGCCUUUUAUUUCUCUUUGUGGUUUCAUGGCUAAGGCUAGGACUUCUAAUAGUAUUUUGAAUGACACUGGUGAAAUUUGACGUCCCUUUUGUGUUCCUGACCUUGGGGUGAAAGCUCUCAGUUUUUCCCCAUUGAUGAUGAUAUUAUCUAUGGGUCUCUCAUAUAUGGCCUUCGUGAUGUUGAGGUAUGCUCCUUCUAUCCCUACUUACUUGAGGGUUUUUAUCAAUUAAGGAUACUAUAUUUUGUCAAAUGCUUUUUAUGCAUCUGUUGAGAGGAUCGUGUUGUUCUUAUUCUUUUAAUAAUGUUAUGUAUCACAUUGAUUGAUUUGUGGAUAUUGAACCAUGCCUGGCAGCCCAGGAAUAAAUCCCACUUGAUCAUGGUGAAUAAUUUUUUUAAUGUAUUGUUGGAUUUGAUUUGCUAGUAUCUUGUUGGGUAUUUUUGCAUCCAUGUUCAUCAGCGAAAUUGGUCUGUAGUGCUCCAUUUAAGUGGGGUCUUUGUCUGGUUUUGGAAUCAAGGUAAUGCUGGCCUCAUAGAAGGAGUUUGGAAGUUAUCCUUCCAUUUCUAUUUUUUGGAACAGCAUCAAAGGAAUAGUUAUUAAUUCUUCUUUAAAUGUUUGGUAGAAUUCUCCUGGGAAGCCAUUUGCCCCUGGAUUCUUGUUUUUUGGAAGAUUUUUGAUUACUGUUUCAGUUUCUUUACUGGGUUUGGGUUUGUUCAAAUUUUCUAUUUCUUUCUGUUUCCAUUUGUUAGUUCAUUUGUUUCUAGGAAUUUAUCCAUUUCUUCCAGAUUGCCCAAUUUGUUGGCAUAUAAUUGCUCAUAAUAUUCUCUUAUUAUUGUUUUAAUUUUUCCAGUGUUGGUUGUGAUCUUUCACCUUCCAUUGUUGAUUUUAUUUAUUUGGGUCCAUUCUUUUUUCUUUUUGAUAAAUCUGUCUAGGAGUUUAUCAGUUUUUUUAUUCUUUCAAAGAACUAGCUCCUAGUUUCAUUGAUCUGAUCUACUGUUUUUUUCUAAUUUUGGUAUCAUUGAUUUCUUCUCUAAACUUUAUUAUUUCCCUUCUUCUGGUUUUGGGCUUUUUUGCUGUUCUUUCUCCAGCUGUUUUGGGUGUACAGUUAGGUUGUGCAUUUGAGACAUUUCUUCCUUCUUUAGGAAGGCCUGGAUUGCUAUAUACUUACCUCAUAUGACUGACCUUGUUGCAUCCCAAAGGGUUUGUACUGUCAUGUUUUCAUUUUCAUUGGCUUCUGUGUACCUUUUAAUUUCCUCUUUAAUUUCUUGGUUAACUGGUUAUUCUUUAGUAGGAUGUUCUUUAACCUCAAGUAUUUGUUGUUUCCCCAAAUUUUUUCUUGUGGUUGUUUUUAAGUUUCAUAGCAUUGUGUUCUAAAUAUAUGCAUGAAAUGAUCUCAAUCCUUUUGUACUUGUUGAGUGCUGAUUUGUGACAAAGUAUGUGAUCUAAUCUGGAGAAUGUUAAAUGUGCACUCAAGUAGAAUGUGUAUUCUGAUGCUUUAGGAUGAAAUGUUCUGAAUAUAUCUGUUAAGUCAAUCUGGUCCAGUUUGUCAUUCAAAGCCAUUGUUUCCUUGUUGGUUUUCUGCUUUGAUGACCUGUCCAUUGCUAUAAAUGAGGUGUUAAAGUCCCCUACUAUUAUUAUAUUAUUAUCAAUAAGUUUCUUUAUGUUUAUUAGUAUUUUAUUUAUAUAUUUCUGUGCUUCCAAUUUAGGGGCAUACAUAUUUAUAAUUAUUAGAUCUUUGUGGUUGAUAGACCCCUUAAUUAUUUUUUUUGAAUUGUAUACUUUUUAUUCUUUUUUUUUCAAUAUAUGAAAUUUAUUGUCAAAUUGGUUUCCAUACAACACCCAGUGCUCAUCCCAAAAAGACCCCUUAAUUAUAAUAUGAUGUCCUUCAUCUCUUAUCACAGUCUUUCUUCUAAGUCUAGUUUGUCUGAUAUAAGUAUGGCUACUCCAGCUUUCCUUUGACAUCCAUGUGCAUGAUAAAUGAUUCUCCAUCCCCUCACUUUCAAUCUGCAGGUGUCUUUAGAUCUAAAAUGAGUCUCUUGUAUGCAGCAUAUAGAUAGAUUUUAUUUUUUAUCUACUCUGAUACCCAGUAGUUUUUGAUUGGAGCAUUUAGUCCAUUUACAUUCAGAUAGAUUAUUGAAAGAUAUGAAUUUAGUGCCAUUUUGUUACUCAUAGCAUUGGUUUUCUGGUCAUGUUCUCUGGUUCUUUUUUGUACCCGUUGCUUUUGGUUGUUUUGUUUUGUUUUGUUUUCUCCACUCAAAGAGUCCCUCUUAAAAAUUCUUGCAGGGCUGGUUUGGUGGUAUGAACUCCUUUAGUUUUUGUUUGUCUGGGAAACUCUUUAUCUCUUCAUCUAUUUUGAAUGACGGCCUUGCUGGAUAAGGAAUUCUUGGUUGCAUAUUUUUCACAUUCAGCAUGUUAAAUAUAUUCUGCCCCUCCUUUCUUGCUUGCUGUGUUUCUGUUGACAGAUCUGCUGCAAACCUUAUCUAUCUUCCCUUGUAGUUUAAGGACGUUUUUUCUCUUGCUGCUAUCAUGAUUCUUUCCUUGUCUGUGUUUUGUGACUUUUACUAUGAUAUGCCUUGGUGAUGGGCAGCUUUUGUUGAAUCUAAUGGGAAUUCUCUGUUCUUGGAUUUUGAUGUCUUAUCCUUCCCUCUAUUAGGGAAGUUUUCAGCUAUAAUAUGAUCAUAUAAACCUUCUACCUUUCUAUCUCUUUUUAUCUUUUGGUGCUCCUAUGAUAUGAAUGUUAUUCCCCUUAAAAAGUCACUGAGUUUUCUAAUUCUACCCUUGUGAUCCAUUACCUUUGUUUCCCUCUUCUUUUCAGCUUCAUUAUUUUCCAUAAUUUUAUGUUCUAUAUCACUAAUUCGUUCCUCUGCUUCAUCCAUCCUCACUGUCAUGGCAGCCAUUUGAGAUUGCAUCUCAAUUACAUUUUUAAUUUUGGCCUGACUAGAUUUUAAUUCUUUUAUCUUUGCAGAAAGAGAUUCUCUGGUGUGUCUAUGCUUUUUUCAUCCCCAGCUAGUAUUCUUAUACUCUUGGUUAAAAUUCUAGUUCAGACAUUUUGCUUAUAUCUGUGUUGAUUAAAUCCAUGGCCGUCAUUUCUCCCUGUUCUUUCUUUUGGGGAUAAUUCCUCUGUCUUGUCAUUUUGGAAGAAGAAAAAAUUAAUAAAAUAAAAUUAAAAAUUAAAAUUAAAAAUUAAAAACAAAACAAAACCAAAUAAAGGAAUCUAGUUCCUAGGUGUGCUUCAGUUUGCUUGUAAAGAGAAGCUUGACAAAAAAAAAGAGAAGAAAAUAUUUAAAAAUUAUUGUAAAUAAUAAAAUAGAAUUAAAAACAAAAUAAGAAAAAUUAAAUAGAAUAAAAAACUUUCUCUCUGUAUCCAAGAAGGAAAGAAAAAGGAAAGAAAUAAAGAAAAAAGAAAACAAAUAAAAACAGAAACAAAGAAAAUGAACAAAUGAAUAAGCAAACAAAAUGAAACCUGAAUGAAGCUAGUUCCAUUUACUUUAAAACUGAAAUUUUGCAGCACACUAUGGUCCAUAGACUAAGCAGGUAGAAAGGAUUUGUGCUGGUCUUCUGGGGAAUGUGCCUGAAAGGUGCUAGUGGGCAGGGCUUGGUGUAAAAGCUCUGUUCCCUAUUUGGUGGCACUGCUUAGCUCACUGGGGUUGAUUGAUGUGGGUGUGCUAGAGGUGAAAAUGGCUUCACUUCCACUCUCUAGUCUCUAGUGUGGGAAUUUUAUGCCCUCACAGACACAAUCAAUCAACCCCCCACCUUUUGUCUCAGGCUUCAUUGCUCCCUUCCUCUACCCUAUGUUUUUACAAGCUGUCUCUAUACCUGCUAGGAAAUGCCUCCCUCAAGAGUUUUAUCUCUGAUGGAGCUGUUUUUCAAAACCUCACACUUCAGAGACCUCAGAGGCUUGGGCCUGUGUUAAUUCUCUGGGGGAGGGUCUCCCCAAGCAAUGGCCAGGUACAGACUUGUCCCAGAAAACGUUGGUGUGAUUGAGCAGAGGCUCAAAGUAUAUAGUGAAUCACAACACAUAGCCAGCGCCAGGUUUUGCUGCACUCAGCUGGCAUCUUUGUCCCAAUAUCAGUAAACAUGGCAGCUCUCUGGUGUUGGUGGGACUUUUGCCCAAGGGAAAGCCAUAUCGCCUGUACCAAAUUUAGUCCAACAGAGGAACUGCUUCUCCCUGUAUGUCACUCAGACCCCCAAGACUGCACUGCCUGCUCCCUGCUUCCUUGCCAAGCACCAUCAGGCACUGAGUUCUGAAAUGUCAAACUCUGUAUUCCACUGUUUAUAGAAAACUGGUGGUAUAGAAACCCUGUCCUUUUUCCUUGUCAAUGAUUUUAUGGAACAGAUUUCUUGUCCAGUCCCCUGCAAAUGUUUUCACUCUUUCUCUCUCUCUGUAUCUCCAGCUACUUUCAGGAGAAGUGCCUUUCUUGCACAAUCCUGAUGUCCUGCACACUAUCCUUCUUUCUCUUUCUCUCUCUGUCUCUCUGUGAAAAGGGCUCCCUAUCAUCCAGGACACCAUGGCUUUUCUCUUCCCCAAUUCACCUCUCUGCAUGGCAUACCUUCCAAUUUCUCUUCCUCAAGUUAUGCAGAUUGCUGCAUUAAUCUUCAUAUCAUUUUCUUAGGUGUUCAAAAUUGUUUGAUGCUGAUCUAGCUGUGUUUUAAGGAUGAGACAAGAUCAGAGUCCCCAUACUACUCUGCACUAAUGUGUUUUUCUGCUGUUUUGUUCCUUAUUUUCUUUUUUAAAAAAAUUUUUAAUGUUUAUUUCUGAGAGAGAGAGAGAGAGAGAGAGAGAGAGAGAUGAAGCAUGAGUGGGGAAGGGGCAGAGAGAGAGAGAGGGGGAGACACAGAAUCUGAAGCAGGCUCCAGGCUCUGAGCUGUCAGCACAGAGCCUGAUGCAGGGCUCGAACUCACGAACCAUGAGAUCAUGACCUGAGCCAAAGUCAGAUGCUUAACUGACUGAGCGCCCCCCCACCACCUUAUUUUCGAUAAGAACAAAAAUUAAAGGGUAAAUUCAUAGAGUGGCAAAAAUCCUAACUGAUUAGAAUUUGUUACUCUGAUUUCAGACAGAACCAAAUUCAAGGAAUUCAAGGUUAAUGAAGGGUUUCUUUUCUAUUUUUCACCACAUCCCAUAUAUUAGCUCAAUUCAAAUAUUGAGUACAUUUCUCAUGGUCAUGAAAUUAUUUCUUUCACCAAACCUCCCAUUUCACAUGCUGAAAAUUUAACCCUUUGUUUUUCAAGUGUUGGGGAGAAACAAUUUUUUCUACCCUUCAAGGGGCUUCCAACUGGUCUAAGAAUCAAAUUAACAGAGACAGAUUAACAGAAGGAAAUAAAAUUUAAUUAUAUAUGUACAGGGAAUCCACAUAGACAUGAGAUUCUAAUGACAGGCAAAAUAUGGUAUAUGUCAUUCUGAACUAAGGAGUAAGAAGAAGUGGUCUGGGACUUCAAAGAGAAGGAAGGCAAUUCAAAGGAAGAUGAAAAGGAGUAAAUGUUUAGUCCAUCAUUUCCUCACCAUUUCUGAUUACACCCAGUUAACUCAAUAAAUGUGUACAAGUUUUUGGGUCUAGAGGUAGCAUUUGGAGUAAGUCAGCUGAUGAAAGUCAGCUGAAGUCUCUGAGACAGCUCUACACAACAGACCAUAAACUAGCCCAGAGUAGAUGAAGAUGGUGUACCUCUGGGAACCUCUCAUUUGAGUAUUGUUCUUCUCUAACCUUUCUGAAGGCCUUGCCUGAAGAUGUGUAAAAUUAUUAACCCUUAAUUUGCUUCCUUAGCAAGGACUCUUCUUUCUUCCCCAUUAUGUCUCAGGAGGAAUAGGUGACUGGAAUAAAGCUGGUUUGAGUUUUUAAUAUUAUUUGGUGAGCCUGUGUCUGUAUAUGAGUCCACUUAUUGUAUUUUAUAUCCCCUUGAAACUAGAAAAUUAGUGAUUCGUCAGAUUAAUAUCCCCAUUGGAGUGUGAUUGUUCUUAUGAAAGUCAUCACCAGACUGUCUUCCUGCCAAAUCUGCAGAAUUAUCUUCUCUGUUCUCAUUCUCCUUGAUCUCUCUGUUGUAUUUGACACUAAUAACAAAUUACCCCAUGAAAUAUUUUUUCCCUUUGGUCUUUACACAGUACUUAUUUUACUCCUGUUUCUCCAACCACUGUGGGAAAAAAUAGAAGAAAAAGCAAGGGAGUGAAAGAAAGCUCAAAAGAGAGAGAAAAGAGACAAAGAAGAGACCAAAGAAGAGGAAGAGGGAGAGGACAUGAAAGUAGAGAAGAAGGAAAGGGGUUUAUUCAUGAUAAAGAUUAUCACAUCAUAAUACCACCUUCAACAUUUGCCUCAUGUGUUUCUCAGUAGCAACCAAGAUUUAUGUUGCAUAGGUUUAGGCAAAUAAAUGCAAGCUACCAUUUCAGCACUUACUAUGUGCCUGCUACUGAGAAGAGAAUUAACAUAUUGUUUAAUCCUUACAACAUACUUCAAAGAAGGUAACACUAUUUCUAUCUCAAAUGUGAAGAAAAUUGAAACAGAAAGAUGAGGUAAAUUGCUCAUAUGCCUACAUUUACUAAGUGAGAAAGCCAAGGUUUGGCCCUAGUUUUAUCUAUCUCCAAAACUGAUGCUCUAUUAUUUAUAUUAUACUGUCUAAAGCAUCCAGGAACUUAUUAUGAAUCUUAAACAUUAAAAAAAUUAAGUUUAUUUAUUUAUUUUGAGAGAAAGAGAGAGUGCACAGAGGAGGGGCAGAGAGAGAGGGAGAGAGAGAAUCCCAAGCAGGUUCCAUGCUAUCAGCACAGAGCCUGAUAUGGGGCUCAAUCCCAUGAAUCAUGAGAUCAUGACCUGAGCCAAAAUCAAGAGUUGAACACUUAACUGACUGAGCCACCCAGGCGCCCCUGAAUUUUAAACAUUUAAAAGAGGGAAUGUUUCAAUGGUUUACUUACAUUUCUAGAGAUGUAAAAUUAAAAAAUAAAUUCAUAGCGUGCCUGGGUGGCUCAGUUGGUUAAGCGUUCAACUCUUGAUUUUGGCUUAGGUCCUGAUCUCACAACUGCCUCGGGCUCUGUGCUGACAGUGAGGAGCCUGCUUACGAUUCUCUCCCUCUGCACCUCCCCCGCAUGAACUCAGUCUCUCCCUCUCUCUCUCUCUCUCUCAAAAUAAAUAAAUAAAACAUUAAAAAAAAUAAACCAUUGUCUGACUUUCUAUUUUGGAAACUACUAAUUUGUCAUGUGGUUUGAUCUGUACCUUAGAUCACUUUAAAUCUCUAGUGAGAAGUCUCCUUAGAUCACACCUUAUUGUUUAAGAUCAUUUUUUUCCAGAUGGUACAAAAUAGCAAACUCUGGUUCUUCACUAUAAUUAAUUAGGGAUUCCAGGGCACAAUGGGGCAUUUUACUUCAAAAAAAAAUUUGUAUUGAAACAGCUGCCUCUUUUAUUACCAGGAGAUCUGUACCCUUUCAGCUGCCAGUGCUGACAUUUGUUUCCCCAUUUCUCUACAAAAUUAGCAUCUCUAAGAAUUCUAAAGGGUCUGUUCAUGAUUAACUUGCAGUUGUAUUUUAAUAGAACAUUUUGUGCAUUUCAUAUCAUAAAAAAAUUAUCUAAAACUGAAAGGCUGAUAAAUUCCAGGACUUCAUUUUGGUCAAUGAUUCAAACUUUUGGAGGAAAAAAAAGAGAAUUUCUCCUUUUUUGUGUGUGUGGCCAAGUCAAAGUUAAGAAGUAAGACUUGGAAAUCUAUAAUAUUUAUUAAUGUAAAAAUGUAUAAAAACAAACAAUAGCUGUGAAUAAAGAAGAAAGCUAGCAAAGCUAUGAAGCAUAGGUCUCUUCCUUAUGAAAGUCUAUCCUGUAUACAUUUGUCAGUAUGAAUUCUAAAGGCAGAAUCCUAAAGAUGUCCUUUACCUGAUAUCCCCAUGAACAGUACUGUUAAUAAGGGACUUUGCUAAUGUAAUUAAGGUUGCUAAUCAGCUGAAUUUAAAAUGGGAAUAAUAUCAUGAAUCUUAGAAUAUACAGAUGGACCCUUAAAAGCAGAAGAAAAAGACAAAAAUUCAGUCAGAAAUAUGGGGCAGAAGUUGAAGUCAGAGAAGAUUUGAAGUGUAGGAAAGACUUGACCUACCGUUGCUGGAGGACAGCCAUAUGGAAAGCAAUAGAAAAUCCUUAUUCAGCAAGUAAAUAACUAGGUUUGACCUGCAUUGAUUUCUUGUCAUUCAGCAUUCACCUUUGUGUAUAUGUACAAAUACUAACUAGAAAACCUUUAAGAAAACAUCCUAAUCUUAGAGUCCUGGAAAUACUAUAACAUAAAGAUGCAUGCCAAAAAGAAAAAAAAAAGUUCAUCCAAUCCUAGGUGAUACUGUGAUUCAGCACAAUGUCUUCCCAGUUCCCUUCCAAUUUUUGUUUUUCCAGUCCUUAUUUCGGUAACCCUAUUUUUGCUUUUUGCUUUUUGUCUCAAUUUAGGGCUUCCGAAUCCUUAUGCUGCAGCUUGGUAAGAAAUCUGUCACUAAAGUUGUUCUGAAUUUUUUUUUUUUUUGCUUAUAUAGUUGCUCAUGGUAUCACAUGUUUCUUAUUAAUAAUCCUUAAAUAAAACUAUUUUUCCUUGCCUAAUCCCCCCUUCCUGUUAAAUGACAACAAAUAUAUUCAUUUUUGUGGGCACCUUUAAAAGAGGGGUUGCAUCUCAUUUACUUUUAUGAAUAAAUAUUUGUUGAAUUUUAAAAAGUAUAAUGUCUGAUAAUGCCUUAAUGGAUUACCUUACCAGGAUUAUUUUAUUUUAACCAGUCAGAAUGUCAAUACUGUAUUUGUUGCAUAGUUCCCAUUUUUUAAACAAGUUAAGAUUUCAAAAGAAAUUAAGUAGAAGGGAAUCCUAGAAGAAAUGAAGGAAAUGCUUUUCAGUAAAAUUGCAGUGAUAGCACCAAAGUUCUCCAUAUUUCCACUGGGAAGGCUAGAAGAUAUAAAAACAGGGUGGAAACCUGCCAAUUGAUGUACCACAAACUUUGAGGAUUUCCUGUUAGCUUAAAUAAGAAGAGGCCAAGUGAAGGAAAGAUUAGAGCCCUGAACAGAAAAAUGCCUCCUGUGAAAAAAUAAUGUCUGAGAAGUAAAUUGAGGUAACUUGAAUAGUGCUUCUUGAAGUUUAAAGGAGGCUGAAUUAAUUGCUAGAGAGGGCCAAAGUACUUUAAAGGGCAUAUCACAUUAAUACUGCCUGACCUCUGUUCAUGCACAGCAUCUACACCUAUAAUUAGACCUGUGGAGAAGUGAGAGUAACUUAACUGACAGUGAAGGCUACUAGAAGCCAAAGGUCAAUGCUACAGGCAGCUCACUAAGAAGGAAGCUGAGGAUUGCCAUUGUUCUUGGUACAGGGAAACUGAUUAUUGUGGGCUUGCUUCUAGGCUUGUUUGCACUAUUUGCUCUCACAAAUGAAGAAAUAACACAGUGGCAAAGUUUCCUACUUGGUCUAUUUAGAACUCUGAAUCCUUUCUCAAUCCCUCUAGACUAUGAAGUCACUAACAAUAUAAAUUUACGAUAAAUUAUAAAAUGUCCCCCUUCUUUGCAUCUUGAUCUCAAAGAUUCAUGCAAAGAUCUAUGCCAAUUUCUUAUAGAACCUAUCUCUACUUAACUAUGGCAAAGUAAUGAGCAACCAUAGAUACUCUGAUAUGAGAAUUUUUAAAAAGGGAGAACAAUCACCCAAUGUGUGAAGAUAUACUUCAAUUCAAACAAAGGAAAUUAUCAAGAAUCAGAAGAGAUACCUCACUGGAAACACAGGUAUUCUAAGUAACAGAAGAAUACUAGGGAGGUUUUAUGAUAUUUUUCAACAAGAUUUAAGAAUAUGAUUGGUCCAAAAAUCAAACAAUGCUAGAGCAAGUAAUCAUGAGAGAUGAAUUGGAGUUAAAUACACACACAGAUUUUUUUAUUGUAAGAUUAUUAAACUUAAAACUUUAAUGAAACUGCCAUAUAAAGAGGUAAUAAUUGAAUUUUAAAAGUAGCACACAGAUUCAAGAAAUUCAUCCGGAACUCUGAAGAAAUGGCAAAUUGGUGAAAAAGAGUAAGAAAAAAUAUGGCAGAUGUUGUGGACAAAUUCAAGGAAUCCAAUACACACAAAAUAGAAAUUUUAGAAGAAGAGAAUAGACAUGAUGUAACAGAAGCAAAAAUCAAAGAACAGUGGAGAGAAAAUUUCCUGAGCUGAACUAAUAUUUGACACUUUUGUUUAAAAGAGAUGACUAGGAGUGCCUGGAUGGCAGUUAAGUGUCCGAUUUCUGCUCAGGUCAUAAUCUCGUGGUUUGUGAGUUCAAGCCCUUGCUUGAGAUUCUCCCUUUCCCCCCUCUUCCCCUACUUGUGUGCACACGCUCUCUCACUCUCUCUCUCUUUCUCUCUCUCUCUCAAAAAUAGACAUUAAAAAGAAUAAGAGAUGGCCUAAUAGUCAAAUUUAUUGUGGGAUGGGAGGAGAGAAAAGAAAGGGGGACAGAGAGGUAAAACAGACUGAACACCUAGAAAUAUUUUGAAUCUCUAGAAAAAUUUUGAAUUUCUAAAGGCAUUGAUCACACUAAGCCAGAAAAAUAAAUAAAAUUUAAAAAUAAAUGUUAAUGUUCAAUACUCAAGAGCUGUAAUGCACCAAGUGAAAUAUAAUUUUAAAUUUAUUUUUAAAUAAGUGGAACUAUAAGAAAAAUCAAGAAAACCACCAUAUUUAUAGAAAGGCAUUUUAAAUUGCCCUGCAACUAUUUUACAGAUCACAUAAACAGAAUAAAUUAAAAAAUAAUAAGUUGGGGUAUAGAGGAAUUCAAUGUUAUAAUUAAUACGUGGUCUUGUCAAAAAGAUGGCCCAGAAGCCAUUUUUCUAGAAUUCAAAUGAAGUGAAAGAAAAACAAAAUAGUAGAGGAGAUGCCUCACAUCCAAGGAGCCAACUACAACACAAACUCUGAGAGAUCUCUGUGAAAUAUCUUGAAGUGGGAAGAGACUGAAGGACCUCAUAAAGGGCCAGAUCACAAUUAUGAUUUGAUAGUGUCAAUAAUAGAGUCUGAGUUGGGGAAUGGCGAGCCAUUGGAAAUCUGGAUACCACUCACUAGAUACCACACUAUGCUCUAGAUACACUCUACACAACAACCAAUGGUAGCAGUGCUAGACUUGGUAGAGAGAGUAUACAUCAAGCAUAAAGCAGAGGGAGUUUUGUCUGAGCUGAAUUUAUUCACUCAUUCAUUGUUCAUUUAGUGAAUAAUUAUUGAAUAUCAGUGUUUACUGGACAUUGUGCUAGAUGAUGGGGGCAAAGCAGUGAAAAAGACAGAUAAAAUCCUUUAUGAUUUUUAUUUAUUUGGCUGGGGAAACAAACAGGUAAACAAAUAUAGAAAUAAGAUAAUUUUUACAAGUUACAUGUGCUACAAAAGAAACAAGUCAAGGCAAUGUGAUUCAGUGUGUAGUUGUUGGGGGUAGAGUUACUUAAAUUGAGUGUUCAAAGAAUGAUUUCCUCUCUGAAGAGGUGGCAUUUAAACUGAGACUUGAACAUUUACAGUGAAACAUUUAAACUGAGACUUUAAAAUGAGCUAUAGAAAAGCAGAAGAAAAGAUGUUUUCAGCUGAAGCAGCAACAAAGACUUGGGCAAGGGAGGGUUGUACCCUUUAUACAGACGGGAAAAAAACACAAAACUAAAUGUUGUAAAGAUAUCAAUUAUUCUCUAGUUUAUGGAUAAUUGCUAUGAAAAUAACGUGAAUAACAAUGAUUAUUUUGGAGGGUGAAGAGGGUGUGAGAAUGUGAUGUUAACAUCCAUGUAAAAGAAUAAACUUUUGGAAUAGCUGAGAAGAUACACUACAAUGCUUAAAAAAGUAUAAUAGCUUAUUACUAAUGCAAGAAUAUAGUUUAAUGGGAAAAAAUAGUUCCCAAUGACCUCCAAUGUAAGUACAAACACUAAUUUAUACAGGUGGCAUUAUAUUAUAUUAGGAAAGGAAAAGAUAAGCCAAUAAACAGUGCUAGAGCAAUUGGUUAUUUACCAAAUUUUACAUAGUUACUUAUCACCAGUCACCAAAAUACAGAUUAAAGACAAAUGUUUAAUAAGUAACCUUAAAAAGAAAAUAUAAGGAACUAGUUGUGCAAUAUUGGAGUGAGGAACACCUCUUAAUGCGACAACAAAGGAAAUCUUAAAGGAAAUUAGCAGAUUGCAUGUGGUGAUGAAUGAUUAUUUGCCUUUUAAAAUGUUGUGUAUCUUCUAAAUUAUGUAUACUGAGAAACUUUUAACUUUAGAAUCAGAAAAAUAAUACUAGAAAAAACAUUCAAAACGAUUACCUCAAAAGAAAACUGAGGGAUUGUUUUACAAAAGAGGCAUAUCUGGUACUUCUAAAAUCAUGCCCUGAGGAGAGUCACAUUCUCUGUAUAUUUGGUUAACUCAGCAUUACUCUUAAGAAAUAUAGGUAACAACUGCUAUUGGAUUGUUUCUUAUUCUUUAAUUUUCAGGAAACAGAUUGUCCAAAAUAAUUUUAGCCUUUUAGUCUCUCGCUCUAAAAAUACAGUCAAAUAUUGAUCCUACCACAGAGAUCUGAUAGGAGAUGAACUUGGGAUCUUCCCCCUGGACAAUAGAGACCAUUUGGUCCAACAGAGUACCAAUUACAACACAUAUUUUAUCAUUGUUUUCCCAAGUCUCCCUUGGGAAUUCUGUCUGAUAAAAAGUAAAAAUUGCAACACUGUUUGAUUCUUUGGUGCAGACGUUUUCCUUCUCUUUGUCCUGCAAAGUCACACAAAGUACAUUUUCUCUCUCUAUCUCCAUACUCCUGACACUUUCACUUUCAUUAAAUUCCAGAAUAGCAACUUUCUUACCCAGACAAAAUGGGCUCCCUGGGAAUUACCAGCCUCAUCGUUAUUUAAAUAAAAUUACAUAUGUAUGUCAAUUCAAUUGUCUUCAAGUAUCAGUGUUAUUUCUCAGUCAGCAAGUAACCAGGCUGUAGACUUUUUGCAUUUUCAUCUACUUUAAAGUGCAACUGCUCAGCUAAUGAGAUCACUAUAGCCCAGCAGAAAGCUCAAGUUUGAAGUGAAGUUUUUUUUAAAGUUUAUUUAUUAAUAUUAUUUGAGAGAAAGACAAAGAGAGAGGUGGAGAGACCCAAGCAGGCUCAGCGCUGCCAGCACAGAGCCCCAUGCAGGGCUCAAACUCACAAACCCUGAGUUCAUGACCUUAGCUGAAAUCAAGAGUCAGAAGCUCAACAGACUGAGCCACCCAGGUGCCUUUGAAGUUAUUUUUCUUUUCAUUUCAGUCAAGAUUUUUUGCUUGUUUGUAAGUUUUUCCCCUCUGCGCUGAAAUGUUACUACUCAUUGUGUUUGAUCCAGUCCAGUGUUGAAUCUGUAAUUCCACUUCAUGGCAAAAUAAUGUUUGUUUCUAUCUUCAUAAUCUUCCAGAAGUAGCUAUGAAGUAGCUAUCUCCAGUUUCAUGCCACUGAGAGCUAAUUUGAAAACUGUUAGCAAAAUAUCCCAAAUCACUGGAGGACCAGUGGAGCCAUGGGAGAGGGGUCAGAGGCCCUUCUCCAGGACCCAGGUUUUCCUGGUGACUUAGCUCCAGGUAGCCCCACAUUUGUUCCAGGUGGUCUCAAAGGGCGGGAGCUUUCAUUCGGACUGUGAGCAGAGGCCUCAACAAAGGCCCUGGGCACCAAGCCUGGUCCAUUGCUUUCUGAGCAAACCUCCCCAGAGCUCAGACCUGGUUGGGAACCCUGGCGGGAAUGACAUAGUGGUUGACUGCUUCUGGAUGAAGCCUGCAGUGCGGACACUUGCUGGAUCUGAGGCCUCUGCACAGUGCCCAGUCUCUGAGUGACUGCCUGGAUCUUGAACCUGUUAUCAACGGGUGCCUUAUGCAGACUGCUUGGAACCCUGAAACAGGUGUUGAUCCUGCUCCUGCCUAAGGGGCUGUGGAGGAACCACUUUGUUGAUAGAUAGAUAGAUUUAAAAUUAUAUUUAAUGGUAUAUAAUGAUGAAACCUCCUAGGACCCUCUGGCCAACUUAGUAGUCUUUUAAGCUUUAGCAAGCACGUUUAGCCCACAUGGUUGAUUAACCUUUCUUUUUAUAUUUAUAGAUCCUGCAUUCUUUCCUAGAAAGAACAGAGCACCUCUGUACAACCCUCAGGCACUAAGGAACCAGAUCACCUUGCUCCAAGCACUGAGAUAACAUCUGUAGCUGGCACCAUUGAGUCUGCACAUAAUCAAGAAAUGUUAGGUAUUCCUGUACUCCCUUUAUUGAUUAACUACCCUAAAUGCCUUUAAAAACCCUUGGGCCAGUGGUGCCUGGGUGGCUCAGUCAGUUAAGCGUCUGACUCGGUUUCAGCUCAGGUCAAAACCUCAAGGCUCCUGAAUUCCAGCCCUGUAUCGGGCUCUGUGCGGACAGCAUGGAGCCUGCUUGGAUUCUCUCUCUCCCUCUUCUCUCCCAUUCCCCACCUGCUCGCUAUCUCUUUCUCUUAAAAAUAAAUAAAUAAAUAAACAUUUAAAAAGAAAAACCCAUGGGCCAGGCAGAAACCUUGGAGUUGGCGUUUGGACAAGAGUCACCUUCUCCCCAGGUGGCCAACCUCCUGAAUAAAACUCAUAUUUCUUUCCAACCAAAACUUAUCUCUUGAGUAUUGGUCUUUGGAGUGAUGGG
RNAcentral lists this long non-coding RNA (85947 nucleotides) under Lynx pardinus (Iberian lynx). The record is from RNAcentral. Lineage: Eukaryota; Metazoa; Chordata; Mammalia; Carnivora; Felidae.